AAAAAAAAAAAAAAAAGAAGUUAGCUUUCUAAUUUACUAGUCAAAUAUUCUCAAGAUCCAUAAGAUUAAUAACUUGUUACACAUAUGUAUGAACAUACGAAGACAAAAAGCAAAGGACAUGUGUGCAACAGUAUGCUUUACCCAGAUCAUAUCAAUCCAGAAGAAGAAGUGUACUAAAUCCGACUCAUCCAGCCUUCGAUGGUGACCCUUCAUCAGAAACACGAUUAAUAUUCACCUAGAAGAGUUGCUUUCUUGAUGAUGGACUUGCAACUUGCAACUAACCAAUUGUGUCUUCUGCGUCCAACACAAUUUUAAUGCAAACUAAACUUGUUCUGAUUUGUAAGUUGUAACCAAGUCUUCUGUAAGUUGGGAUCUAUGAUUAGUCAUUUCUUCCGGGCAACCUUUUAUGUCAAAUAAUCCCAAAGAAAACCUUUUAAUAGCCCUUGUUUUUGGUUACCACUUACACUUGACAUGUGUCUAAAAUCAUCUCAUUUAGAGUGUAAUAUAAGAGUAUAAAGGAUUUAUCUAUUUGGUAGAUAUUAUACUGAAUCUUCUUUCCCUUGUUAUGAAAGAAAGAAGCAGGGAUACUGUAUCUGAAUUUGUUCCAAGGAACAAAUUUUGUUUUUAAUUUCUAUCUUUUGGGCAAAAGCUACAGGUUUAGAAAAUCAACAAGCCCCUAAAAAAAUAACUUUUAAAAGCAAAAAAAAAAAAAUUGAAAAUUUGAACUCGCAAAUGGUAGAACACAUCCUAACAUAACAUUUUUUCUUUACUUUAUGAGGAAAAAUAAAAGCCAAAUAUAAUACUAGUCCAUUAUAUGCGCACCAGAUUUGACUCAAAACCACCAUAAUCCUCAGUUCUUUUUCCUUUUCCACGAUUAAAGAUUCCUAAAAAUAGUUAUAUUUAGUAAAAUGAGACCAGAUUUUUACUCUGGGGUGCAUGGAUGGAAAUAGGAGAGGGCAAGGAGGGACCAGCUCCCCCAAGUUUCAAAAAAUUGAAAAUUUCAACUAUAUUCUUUGUAAAUUUAAACUUUUACCCUAACAGUUUGAGAAUAUGUUAGGUUAUACUUAAGUUUUAGAUAUAUUAAAUUUCACUCCCCGAAAUAAAUUUUCUCAUUCUAUCUAUGCUCGGGUCAAGAAUCUUUAAACUUAAAAUAGGCAAUCGCAGUCCACAGUGGGGGAAUGUUGAUUCAUAACAAUAUUUCCUUUUCAUUAAUUAGGCCAAACAAUUAGCUUAAUCUCAUUUUAUUCCAAAGUUUAAACCAAUUUACCCUAAAAAUUAAGUAAAAUUACACCGACAUCCCAGUUUCAUUAUAAUUACAAAUACCUUGCUCUAAUCUUUAAAAUCACAACAACAUUCAAAUCUAGUUCGUUACGCCUAAAUAUGUACAUCUAUAGCCACAAUCAUCCUUGUGAGCAUUCAAGACAAAAGUGGUGGUUGAAAUCAUAAUAAAGGAAAAUGAGAGAGUUAAAGGUAAUUUGAAAAAGAAAACUGCGAAGUCAAAGUAAUAUUGGAAAGAAAGCAAACGUCUUCUUAAUUGUUGUUAUCGACUUAUCUUCAAAAUUGCAAGGAAAAUAUUGGUUCCUUAUGAUUUUGGUCUUUGGAGCUGUUUUAAGGAAAAUAUUGAAAUUUUUUAUUGAAAAUUUUGAUGGCAUCUUUAGAGAAAAAACUUUUUAGGUACCUAAAAAGUUGUUUUUCUCUAAAACAGUUUUUUAUAUUUUUUUGUUUUUUUUUUCAAGUUUAAAGUAAGGUAGAAGUAUAUACCAAAAGGAAAAGAGAACACCUUAAAACAACCUCUUCAUUUUAAUUGGAAAAUAUGUAUGAGUUUGUUCUUCUCAAGUACCCGCUUGUGGGAUACCUGGUGAAUUGCGGAGAGAAAAAUGGUCAAAAAAAUUACUGAUUUGACAGGUGCGUGCAGUUUAGUCACACCUCUUGAGGAGCAGAUACCUAAUUCAUGCCGAUCCUUAAAAAUAUCGAAAAUAGGGGCACAAACAUUUUUAACAAUUUUAUAAUAGAGAUAUUAUAUUCGGAUAUUAUUUACGUCAACCUUUAUAUGUUUAAUUUGUUAUUUCACAGUUAGUUAUAUGGAUCUUUCCUGAUUCAUAAAUUUUUAAGUCUCAGCCUUGUUAAUCCUUCUUGAACCAUUUAUCGUUUGGGACAGUUGUUACUAAGAAUCAUCCUGCCAUUUGUUCUGAAAACUAAAGAUCAUGUAGUUAUAAAUUAUUUAUCAAACUAUAUAUAAAAGAUUUUAUUUUUGUAAAUGCAUAGCUCCAAUUUCUUUUGAAACUCUUAUAUAUAAUGAUAGAAAUUAGGAAUUUCGACGGUCAAAGUACCUGUAAAUCGGCAAACUACUAAAAAGAUUUUAUUUUUGUAAAUACAUGGCUCCAAAAAUUUUUCCCAUUUUUUAUAUAUAACGAUAGAAAUUAGGGAUUUGGACGGUCUAAUUACCUAUAAAUCAGCAUAUUAUAGAAACCCAAUAAAACAAAAAAUAGUAACUGAGUACAAUUAUUGUGGACACGACAUUUGAUAUAAAGUUGGAUUAGAUGGUAAGGGGAGAUGAAUUAUAAGUGGGAGGUCGUGGAUUCCAAACAUUCAACUUACGGAAAAAAGGAACACUAUUAAAAAAAAAAAACUUAGCUCAUUCCAAUUAUAUAGUAUAGGGACAUAGUUAAAUUAUGUGGGGCCGUAGAAAAAAUUUUCCAAUUAAUACUAUAUAUUUACUUCUUAUUGGAAAAAUAAAUGGGAAAUACAAUGCCUUUCAUUUAAGCAAACAUUGUCUUAGUAGUACAUAGACCUACUACUAUGUAUUUUGUGAAUAGAAUAGCAUUACUAAAACAUUUAUACAUUUGUUAUAUGUAAGGCACUAUGUAAUCCCAUUUCAUAUGUGAGGAAUUAAAAAAGAAAUUUUCAAAAUGUAAGGGACCACUUUAGUAAUUUUUUCAAAAAGUUCCUUUGCUCAAUUUCUUUCCAGCUGAAGUGAAAUUGCAAGUUUUCUUUCAUCAGUCACUAUUUUGUUGAAUAGUUUCUGAGCAAUUUGAUUCCAACAAUCCAAUUGACUAUAAAUGAUUCGACGCUCUUUAAGAAACUAGCCAUUUUAUGCAUGUAUACUCGAAGUUGUAGUUUUGACUAGAGGUGUCAAAAUAGGUGAUUUGGAUGGGUUUCGGUUGUAUAAAAUGGGUAAUGGGUAUAAGUGAGUCAAUCCAUUUAUAUCCAUUUAAUUAGAUGAAUAUAAAUGGGUAAGUCAAAAAAUAAAUUGGGUAACCCAAUUAUCCAUUUAUAACCCAUUUAUUUUAACUUUUUAUAAACUCAUUUAAAUUUAUUUUUGCAAACUAAAUUAUCAAUUUAUACCACUUUUUGAACCCAUUAUUAGUUUUAAAUAUUUACUUAUAAUGUUCAAUAAGUCUAAUUACCAAUUUUUUUUCCAUCUGUGCUCUAUGUUGUCAAAUUACAUACUAUUUAAUAAUUGAAUAAUAAAAAUAUAAAAAUUUGAACUAAGUACUAUAAAAGUUAACAUAAAAACUUAAUCCAAAAAUUUUGAACCCCUAACAUUUUUUCAUGUGUAAAUUUAAAAUUUCAUUUUGGAAAGGUAGGAAAAGAGGCUAAAACUUAUCAAAAAUUGGUAAUUCUGAAAAAUAUGCACGUUAACAAACUAAGAGAAAAUAAAAUGAUAAGAUAAAACCAACAAAUAAUAAUAAUAAUAAUAAUAAUAAUACUAAAACAAAAGUAGUUAAUAUCAUGACAAAAAUGAAAAAUCUGAAAAAAAAAAAGGGGUGGGGGAAGAGAGGAUAUUUGGGGGAAAACAAUUCUAAAUAGGUAAAUUAGAUUUGAUGAGUUACCCAAUAAUAUUCACUUAAUAAAUGGGUAUUAUUGGGUAACCUAUUUAUACCCAUUUGUAAAAAAUUUAAGAUAUCCAUACCCAUCUAUUUAUGAACGGGUAUGGAUAAAUUUAGUUAAAUGGGUUGGUUUGCCACCUAUAAUUUUGACCAAAGAAACACGAAAGCUCUAUUUGACAAGAUUUGAUAACUCUUUGCCUCAUGAUUCAUGUGGUGCCACUUUUUCUUUUCUAUUGUGGACUUCAGUUGUAGUACUUCACUAGUGUGAAUACCCGUGCUACGCACGGUGCUAACAUUAUUGAAAAAAAUAAAAAUAAAAUGGUGAACAAAUAAAAGUGAAAAAAUUGAACCAACAAAAUUAAAAUGUAAUAUCUGUUUAACAAUAGUUUGAAAUAUAAUAGAAUGUGUAUAUCAUUCAAGAACUGUCUUUUUUUGGAAGAUGGAUCCUAAAAAAAAAUAAAAAUUUAUAUUAAAAAAGGGAAUGAUAUAUUUCUACAAAUAAAUGUAAUUGAAUGUUGUUAAAAUGAAAUACUUACAAAUACUAAGCAUUCGAUUUGAUAAUCUUACUUGAAGGUGCGAACACUCUUCACACCAAUCCACUUUUAGUACGAAAGUCAAAAUUGAUGAUUUAAUUAACUCUGUUGAAUUUUGUGGAGUGCGUAUUAUAAAUGAAAAUACACGAUCUUUGCAUAAAUUAAUUCAUUGGCUGAACAACCUAUCACCAUUUUCCUGAUAAUUAAGAACGUACGAAAUUAGUGUAUUUUUUAUAUAGUUUAUAAAUAGUACUAUAAAAAAUAAAUAUAUAUUAAGAAAUUCUAUUUUCCUUUGUAAUUCUCUGAGAUAAGAAGCAUCACAACCAAAUACAAAUCAUGCAUGUAUGUCUUGUAGAUUAAGAUGCAUGUUACCACUGGAAUCUCUGAUUUGUAUGUUAACAUUGUAACUGUUUGAUAAAUAAAAUAUUAUAUGCAAUACAGAAAAAUAUAUUGAAGUUAAAUAUACAUGAAAUUAAUUACCUGAUAACAGUGUCAACCGCGUCAUUACAAUGCAUACACACUGUCUUUGAAAAAUGACCUUCACAUAAUUGUCCACAAUUUUUGCAUAGCUCGUAGAACAUAUUUUCUAUGUUAAUGCUCUGAAUGUAAGUAUUCGAAAAUAUUUAACCUAAUAAGAAUGAAAAAAAGGUAUAGGUUAUAAUUAUAAAUUAAAAAAAUUCAUUCAGUAAUUAAUUAAAAUUGAGUAAGCUUACCGUAGGCAUAAUUGUAUAUUCAGAUAUCCAUAUUCUCUUUGAAUUUGCUAUAAACAGUGCUUGUGGUGUUGUGAAAUUGCUUGAUUUUAACCACGUAACUAGGACUGUGCAUCGAAAUCGAAAUCGGUAAAUCGGAAGUUUGAAAUCGGAAUUUUUCGAAUUUUUGACUUGAAUUUUCCCGACCGAAUUCGAUUUCGAAAUGGUCAAUUCCGAUUUUCAAAUUCGUACCGAAUUGAUUUCGGAAUUCGGUGAACUCCGAAUUCACCGAAUUUCCUUUUUUUUUUUUCCUCUCUUGCUCAAAAACGGAAAAACCUCUUCUGCUCACCACAACCAUAACCUCCACCGCCACUGCCAAGGCCAUUGAAUCUUACAAGCAAUACCCUCUUGCUCUUCUUCCACCCAUCUUCUCCGAUAAAAGUCCCAUCUUUAAUCCUGUUGACUAUCAAAAAUGUCAAUUUCCUCUCAGAAACUCCUGUUUUCAAUCAAUAUUUAUAUACCAAUCGAAUCUUUCUUCUUGAAAGAUUGCGAAUGGUGAUGGGCUCCGAUACUUUCAAUCCCAGAAGCCUCUGCUUCCUCAAACAAUCAUGGGGCGGAAAGUUUAAGGCAGAGAAAUUAGUGGAAAUCUGAAGAAAUGAUGUCAUGGCACCUGCUACCGCAUUAAUUUAAGGUGAUUCCUACACAGUCGACACCUCCAAGCUCUAGCAACCCAGAAAAGAAAAAAAGGGGGCGGAAGAGUUUGAUGCAGGAACAAAAAGGGGGCGCGUACAUCAAUUUGUCCUUGAAGAUGAAGACUGACGAUGGCUUGAAGAUGAAGAGUGAAGAUGUCUGUCGGGCUUGAAGGUGAGAGACGAUGAUGGCGGAGGAAGGCAGAGGAGGGCGUGAAGAUGGCUUGAAGGUGAGACGGAAUCAGGCGGUGGAGGCGGAGGAAUGAAGGUGAGAGACAAUGAGGAAGAGGCGGCGGAAGAAUACAGAAGUGUUAACAGAUUAGGGUUUUUGUAAUUACAAUUGUUAGAUAUAUUAUUGUUAUUAACUUAUUAUGUUAUAUAAUAUAUAUUAUAUAUGUAUUGUUAAAAAAUAAAAACUAUUAUAUUCAUAGUUAUUAAACCCGGCCCGGCCCGGCGGUCGAACCGGUCAAACCGGUGGACCGGUCAUUGGACCGGGCCGGGUUUGGAAUCAGAUCGUUUGUGCACAGAGACCGUUGACUUAGUCAACGGCCCGGCGGUCGAACCGGGUUAAACCGGAAACCCGGCCGGUUUUGGCCGGUUUUGUCACUAACCGGAUUUUGUGGAAAAAUUAUAUUGCUAUUGUUGGGACUCGAACUUCCGACCUUUGCCCUCACACUACCGCUUGCUUACCACCAAACCACUUCCAAAUAUGUUGAUAUAGUAGCUUUAGUAUGAUAUAUAAAUGUUUUUUCAAUUCUAUCUUUUUUUCUCUAAAACAAAUUUAUUUGGAAUCUUUUAAUAAAAAUUUAUUACCCUCCAAACUCUAUAAGUUAUAAAAUGGAUUCCAAAAAUAACAUAUUACAUAAUUCAUUUAAAGACAAAUAUUAUUUUUAAUAAAUUUUUACACUUAAAAUUCAUAAAUAAGCUAGAUAAUUACACUAAAUAUAGAUAAAAUUUUACACUUGAAAUUUGGUAUAUUAAUAAAUAACUUUAUAUUUGAUUGAUUCUUAUAUGAAUUAAUUAUUUUAUAACAAAUUAAAUUAAAUGAGCUUUUGUUAUGACAUUAUUUAUUACAAUUUAUAUCAUAUAUCUUAUAUAAAUAAUUAUGAAAUAUAAUAUUUAAAUAUAUGUAGUGACCCACCGGUUCAACCACUCACCCACCGGUUCAACCAGUAACCCGUUGACCCACCUCCUUCGCCGGGUUCCUUCCCGGGUUGGGUUUAAUAACUAUGAUUAUAUUAUAUGUAAAUAUUAUUAUUCGAAAUCGAAAUACCAUUUCCGUUUUCGAAUUCCUAUUUCGAAUUUCCCAAUUCGAAUUCGGUAAUUCCGAUUUCAAAAAAUAUAUUUUCGAAUUCGACCCGAUUUCGACUAAUUCGAAAUCGGAAAUACCGAAUUCAGUUCCGAAAUUCCGAAUUCAAUUCGAAAUCGGUCUCGAAAUCGAAAUUUUUCGACUUUGCACACCCCUACACGUAACUAACUUGCGGGCACAUGUACUAUUUUCAAACCUGCAAUUUUUUUGAAAUAAAUGUCAAUAAGAGUACGAAACAAUAUUAAUAGUUUGAUAUAGUGUUAAUGAGGAACUCACCAACUGCGCAGGUAUCGAGCAAAAUCUAAAUUGUGAUUAAUAUACAAUUUGCUAGCUCCAAUUGUAUACGGUGAUGGACCUACAUAGUAUGGUUAUGCUCGCUCAAAAGCUAUUCAAAAUAUAUAGAAUAUAACUAAAAGCAAUUGAUUUACCUCUAAAAUUUCGUACGCAAAUACCACAUGCUGGUAAAAUAUUAUUUUUUAUAGCAAACUGAUAUAACCAUUCAUCAUCAUCAUUAGCAAAUUUAUCCCACAAUAUGAAUCGAGCUACUGUCAAACUGUGUUAACAAAAUUUUGAUAAGUGCAAACAUGGGGGGAAACGUGGGAUGAUGAUUAGAGGAUUUGUAGGAAUGGUUGUAGGAUGAGUUAAAAGAUAGUGGGUAUAAUUUAAAUUUAAAUUUGAUUGGUGAUAAGGUGGGUUAUAACCCACUAGUUUUUAUAUAUUAAAAUAAAUACAAAAAUCUAAAAAAAAGAAUGAAAAGUUUAGAAGCCAUUGAGAGGGUUUCUACUAAAAACCCCUUCUUGAAUACAUAUAGAUAUAGAUACUUUAUUGUCAUGAAAUUCCAAUAAAACCAAUUGCUUGAAAAUGAUAUUAAGUCCAACCACUCCAUAUAUGUGCAUUCCAAAUACAGCAGCAACAUGAAUUGAAUUUCUUAUUUUCCUUUACAAUAAUUAGUAUUAGAUAGGUGUAUAAACUCAUUAUCAUACAUUGACUCAUAUGUAUGUUUGCUACAAGUUAAGCUUAACCUAACCAUGGCACUCUUGCAUAAAUUUGUUUUUCUCUGUAAAUUCGAACUCUUCUCCAAUAUUCAUACCAAAACAAAUAACAUAUUUGUUUGGAUUGGCUUGAUUUCAAAUAAAAAAAUUUACUUCACAAAUUUCAACCACCUUUUUAUCUUUCCAAUCACCUUUUUAUCUCACAUACAUUACAUUACAAAAAGUGCUACAGUAAUUAUCUCAAAUAAAUCAUGCAAAUAAACUCUUAUCAUUGUUUUUCGUCUUAAGUGUGAUUCAAGAAAGGUAUAAAGCAAGCUGAAGGAAACACGUUCAAGGAAGAAAUUACAUAACAUACAAUCAUUUAUGCUAAAUUAAACUUGUUAAAGAAGACACAAAUAAAAUAAAUGACGGAUCAUGUGAACAAGAAAACGCAUUAGGAUACUAUCCAUGUUUAAAUAAGUGGAGUAUGAACUCCAUAGUGUUAGUGAAUGUGGCAUGGAAGGGUUGUAGCUCAAAUAUACACUAAUUACUACCAAUGAUGGUUCUCUUAGGAGCAUAUGGGAGAAGUUUGGAGUCAAAAGUAGCAAUACAAAGGGUUAAUUAUCCAUUUAGUUUGAUACAUUAGUACCCUAGGCAUUUUGAAAAACAAACCAUUUAUGUGUAAAAGUGUACUUUCUUUCUUUCAUAUCAUGUUCUGGCUUUUCUUUUCUUUUUUUCACGUAAUCCAAAAUUUUUGUUUUUUAAGUAGAUUGAGGCACAAAACUGGAAAAAUGGAUGCAAAAUUUUAAUUUAUGCACAAAAAUUUGUUUAACUUUGGUUUGGGUGCUGUAAAUCACUAUAAUAUUUUAUCAUCUUUGUUUAAAGUAAAUGUUUUACUAAGAAAUUUGAUGAUUGGAGUGCUUGGCAUAUUGUUGUAAUUCGAAAUUGUUAUUAGUAGGCUACUUGAAACUCUAAAGGAGAUGGGUUCAGGGUAUACUACCUAAACUCUGUGGGCUUUUGGGACUAGUAUGUGGGGUGAAAUUUAAACAGUACUAGGUUAGGGGUUACCUAAAGGAGAGGGUUUCUAUCCUGAUACAUCUUUGCUUAUGUUUAGAAGAUGACUUUGCUUUUGAUGAUCAAAGAGUAAUAGUUCAAUUGAUAUUCAAAUUACCCAGGACAACAAAUUUUGCAUUUUAUUAUUAGCUUAUGAUUUGAUGGACAUUUGGAGCAACCACUGAUUGGGAGCUAAAAGAAAUUGAAUCACCACAACAUCCACACUCUCAGCGUUUACUGGUAUGUCUGAAAUACUCGUUGAUAUAUUGCACCCAAUCAUAACCAAAAGGGAAAUAACUCUGCAUAAAAUUUGGAGAACGAAUAAAAGAAUUGACUAUUUAACACUUAGUCGUAGUUUACCAAAUGAAUACACAUAAUUAAUAGGGAAAAUUUUAUAAACCUUCCCUAAGGUUUCUAAGAAUUGCAGCCACCUCCAUUAAAGUUUGAAAAAUUACACUUACUUCACGUAGUGUUAUGAAAAGAUUAUAAUGAUCUUGAUAACUCUACAAAUCCUAAGUGAAAAGUGGGUGUAAAGAAAAAAGUAAACCACAUUUUGCAAAUAUUUCUUUAUUCAAAAAGUCUAACCUCAUCUCACAUAAUACAUUAUAUUCAAUUCCUAGAUCAUUUAAAUUGACUCCUUACUUAGUUUUAUAAAUAGCCGACUAGUAAAGAUGCAUUUGUUAAAAUAGUUUCUUGACAACUUACUUAGCAAAGAAAAAAAGGAAGUCCAAACAUUAAAAUAUGAUGCCUUGAAACAAUGGCCUAAAUUUUGCUAUAAAGAACUGCCUUAAAAUUUUUUACUUAGCAAAUAAUGCUGAUAUUUUAUUUCUUUUGUCAUUUAAUUUGUUUUGUAAAUCAAAUAGGGCCAGGCAAUACAGGAGGACGUUCAUUAGACCUUUUGUGCUUACAUCACCAUUUGUUACCAAAAUAUAUUUUCUAGAGGAAGUUUCAAUAAUUUUUCAAAUCUCAAGGGAGGCGGCUGCAAUUGUCACAAUCCUUAGGGGAUGUUUUUAAAAUUAUCCCUAAUUAACAUUAUUGCAUCUUUGUGUUUAGAGAGUUUUCUAUAUUAGGAAAAGAAAACUAAUGCCCGAGAUCCUUCUUAACGAGCACCAAGGGUACCCCUUAGCCAAACUAAGUUAUUAUUUCUCCUACUAAGAAACAAGUAUAGUUUUGGAUUGAUAAAUGUCGAGGAAGGGAUUAAUCUACAAUUUCUAAUAUCAAACCCUCAUCUUAUUCAUUUAUAUAGAUAUCGCAAUAUGAAGCAAUAUCAUUUUGGAAACAUCAAUUAAUUUCAUAUGGCAUACUGAUGGAGAAAUAGGAAUCCGAAGUGUAGUUUCAAAAUAAUAAUUACAAUUUUAGUAGGCAAUCAAUGGUAGUGGGCAUCUCGGUCUUAUAACAUGAAUUCAUGUAUUGGCAAUGCUCGAGAUGAGAUUUGUACAUCCACUGGUAGUGGGAGCUGCUGGUCAGGACCUUGAUAGAUCAGAGUUUAAUUUUAACUGGUAGGUUUAGGGUAGAAAGGGAAUAAGGGAAUGGGAGGUAAAAAAAAAAAAAGAGGUUUAUAUGAAUUUACUUGAGCUAGACCAUUCAUAUAAAUUGUGAGUACUAACCAAAUAUAGAAAAAUUCUAAAUAAAUAAUGACUUUAUGGCUAACCAAUUAUCUGACUCUUUUACAUAUGAACCUAUUUCGGUAAGUAAAGCUGAAAAUAAUUCACCUACCAAAUAUAUGUCAAUCGUCCAUUACUGACUAAGCUUGAGAAGAUUGCUUAAAUAAGAUGAGAGGAUGAUUCAGUCUUCCCAAGACAAUAAUUUGAGAGUGACUCAUCCUUUUUUUCCUUAGUCCACAGCCAAAUAAGCUGGAGGGCAAGGAAGUUGCGUGUUCGCAGUGCCAUUUUGAAGUCAAUUAUAUAACACCAUGUGUUAAUUUUCAACACUAAGGGUCCGUUUGAUUCAAUGUAUAAUAUUUUCAACGGAAAAUGUCUUCCAUGGAAAAUUUUAUCAGGGAAAAUAAUUACCUUCUCCAUGUUUUUCCCACUGUUUGGGAGGAGAUGGAAACUACAAAUCUUUAGUGGGUCAUUGCACGAGUGGUGGGUUUUGUUCUAAAUCUUAAGGCUGGUGGGGGAGCUUGAAUGGGUAGUCUUACAACUUACGAGGCGGACAUGGAAAAUAACUUCAAUUCAUUUUUAUGGGAAGUCAUUUUACACCAUAUGAUGUAAAAUAUAUUCGGUAGGAAAAAAUUUUCCCAAACCAAUAACCCAACCAAACAAUAAAAAAUCAAGAAAACAUUUUCUGGAAAAUACUUUCCUUCCAAACAAAUAGACCCUAAAUGGAAACAAUCUUUGGUCUAAAUAAACUUGACAUGUAUGCACUAUAUUUUUUUGAAUACUUCGCCUUGUUUGGAUUGCAGUUUUCCGUCGAAAAAUUACAUUGUUUUCUGUGAUAACAUUUUCCUAUUACUUUUUUUCCUCACAUACAUCAAAUCGCAACAGUAAUUUUUUUAUAAAAAAUCAUGAAAAAUGCAAUCCAAAUUCAAGAUUUUCCCCUUUAUCCUCAAAACACAAUCCUCGACCUCUUAAAGUCUUGCAAUUAUGAAAAUCUUAUAUGAAGCCAAUCCAAAUUUUUUCCUUUCAGAAUGUUCAAAAUUCGUUAGAUUUUAUAAACCAUUAUUUCCCUUUGCAGGCAAUGAAUACGAAAUAGGAAGGAAAUCUUAGAACAUAAUGAAGCUGAUUGAAGACUAUCCGAGCUCUAAAAUGUCUGUAUCUUUAAUAUGAUGUAUGCUUGUUAAACUGCAUUUCUUUCUCAAAGGUCGUAUAAACUAUAAAGUAUCCACAAUAAGCUAGUGUGCUGGUUUAGUAACACUACUCUUUCGUUGUUGGUACAUAAACCAACGAAACAAAUGCAAUUGACCGCAUCCCUAUUUAAGACUUUCGUGUUCAUUAGCUACCUCAUUUUGACUUCAAUUUUUUGCCACUCUAAAUCAUGGUAUAAAAAAAAAUCUAGAUAUAUUAGUGGACAACAGUAAACCGUGUAUACGAUUAAUUAUUGUACAAACGUCCAAUAUCACAAAGUCAAUAUCACAAAGUCUAUAUAUGCGCCUUGUGUCAAUACGAAACUCGCAUCUCCACUCACACACAAAGGGCAUUUUCCCUUGGUUUCCGUUUCACGGCAUAUCAUCGAGUCACGGAACAAAUAAUGGAGUUUUUCUAUGUCUCUUUGCUCUGCUUGUUUUUGCUUCUUGUUACACUCUCACUCCAUUUCCUCUUCUACAAGAGCAGGUCAGCCUUGUCCGGACCCUUACCGCCCGGUAAGACCGGAUGGCCGAUGGUGGGAGAAAGCCUUGAGUUCUUGUCCUGUGGGUGGAAAGGCCACCCUGAAAAGUUUGUUUUUGAUCGCAUGGCCAAGUACUCUUCCCAUGUUUUCAAGACUCAUCUCUUAGGUGAAAAAGCAGCCGUUUUCUGCGGUGCGCCUGGUAACAAGUUCUUGUUCUCAAAUGAGAACAAGCUUGUUCAGGCAUGGUGGCCUGCCUCUGUUGACAAGGUCUUCCCGUCUUCAACCCAAACUUCAUCAAAAGAGGAGGCCAUCAAGAUGAGAAAAAUGCUCCCAAACUUCCUUAAACCUGAAGCUUUGCAACGAUACAUCGGUAUCAUGGAUCAUAUCGCUGGACGACACUUCUCUUCUGGUUGGGAAAACAAGGAUCAAGUGAAAGUUUUCCCUCUUUGCAAGAACUACACGUUUUGGAUAGCUUCCAGAUUGUUUGUGAGCGUCGAGGAACCAACUGAAGUUGCUAAGUUGCUCGAGCCAUUCAACGUUUUGGCAUCCGGGCUCAUUUCUGUCCCUAUUGAUUUGCCCGGAACCCCUUUCAACCGUGCUGUUAAGGCCUCUAACCAGAUCAGGAAGAUGCUUGUGGCCCUUAUCAAGCAAAGGAAAGUUGAUUUGGCUGAAAGCAAAGCAUCACCUACACAAGAUAUCAUGUCACAUAUGCUUACAAUAAGUGAUGAAAACGGAAAAUUCAUGCAUGAAUUGGAUGUUGCUGAUAAGAUUCUUGGAUUAUUGAUUGGAGGCCACGAUACUGCUAGCUCAGCAUGUACUUUCGUUAUCAAAUUCCUUGCAGAGUUGCCUGAAAUUUAUGAAGGAGUCUACAAGGGUAAGGUUUUGAUUGAUUCAUUAUUGGCAUCUGUCAAAUUUUUGCUUAUUUCUAAAAAUAGUGUAUUGAUGGAACUAUAAGUAGAAUUGCGCCCAAGUAAAUUAGGGUUUCCUCUACUAGAAGUUAUUUAUGAGCAUAUUUUCAAACAAGAAUUAACGCUAUCUUUGCUUGUAUAUUUUGGAAUUGGUCAAAAAUUGAUUGCAAUAGUGGAAGGUUGUUAGAUCUUUUAAAAAAGAUUCUAGUUAGCCCUCAAAUUAUUAGAAAUUUCAAUUAAGUCCUUGAACUUUAUAAAGCAGAUAAAUUUGGUCACUUUGGUGUGAUUUACAAAUUUAAAAAUGAAUUCAGUUUAACCCAGGUUUCAUAUUGUUUUCUUUUUUUUUUUUCAAGCUUCAUAUUCGUGCCAUGGGCUUCUUUCUGUUUUGUUUAUUUUGCUUUUUAUGUGCUUCCAACCCCAUUCAGGUAUAAUAUGCUAACUAUUCACAGCUAUUUAUUCUAAAUCUGUGGAAUUCAUGAGCUACACCCAUUAAAUGAACAUCUUCCAACUGGAAAAGAUCGUGGCCAAAAAAGAUCAGAUUUUAGCUUUUUAAGUGCCUUUCUUGCAUACAGUUUGGAUAGAGUGUUAUUUGAAAUCAUUAUUAUAACAUUUUUUGUAAUGUGAUGUAUGUGAGAUAAAAAUGUGAUUAAAAAUAUAAAAAGAUGGAUUGAGAAAUGUAUUUACGAUGCAAGUAAAAUAUUAUUUGAAAAAAUGGGUAUCCAAACAAACUUAUAUAGCAUGAAUUUUUAUUGGAACUCAAAAAAGGACUAUUGAAGUUAUCGCGUGAUAUUAUUGACAAAGGCAGAUACAAACCUUUGACUCCAUAGGGCCAAAUUUUCCAUUACAAUCAGUGAAGGGUAUCUGUGAAAGACUUGCUAAAGAUUUUGAUAGACAAGUACUCUUUUUUCUUUUCUUUUUUUUCAGAAAGUCCAAUUUCCUUCUUGCAGAGCUUGCAAAGAGUAAAUUUAGCAUAAAAUUACCUAACCCACGUUUCAUUUUUGUUUCUUUUUUCUACAGAGCAAAUGGAGAUCGUCAAAUCAAAAGCACCAGGUGAACUGUUGAACUGGGAUGAUAUUCAGAAAAUGAAGUAUUCAUGGAAUGUUGCAUGCGAAGUAUUAAGACUUGCUCCUCCUCUCCAAGGUGCUUUUAGAGAAGCUCUUGCUGAUUUCAUGUACAAUGGUUUCUCAAUUCCAAAGGGAUGGAAGGUAAAAACAUAAAUAGCAUAUGCAUAUACAUACAUAAUUAACAAUUUAUUUUUGUCUAAUUUCCUAGCAAAGAAAAGAAGUGUAACACGCGGUUCGAAUCCUGGAUCUGGCGCCAUUGGGAAUGGAAAGGGUGUGGGAAGAAGUGGGAGGGUUAAAAAAAAAAAGUGUAUCAUGCAAUCUUUAUACUUAUUGGCUCGCAUAAUUAACGAAUUAUUGUUGUCUCUAAAAUAAUGCAGAUAUAUUGGAGUGCCAAUACGACACAUAGAAAUCCUGAAUGCUUCCCAGAACCACAAAAAUUCGACCCUUCAAGGUUUGAAGGAAGUGGACCUGCUCCUUAUACAUUUGUACCUUUUGGUGGAGGUCCUAGAAUGUGCCCAGGAAAAGAGUAUGCCCGCUUGGAAAUACUUGUUUUCAUCCAUCAUGUUGUGAAGAGAUUCAGGUGGGAAAAAAUAAUUCCUGAUGAAAAGAUUGUCGUGGAUCCGAUGCCCAUUCCUGCCAAGGGACUUCCAGUUCGACUUUUUCCACACAAGGCCUAAAAAUCAUCGUAGUUCUUGUGGCCAUCAUAGCUAAGGCAAAAAAUAUAUAUAUAUAUCGUCUAAUAUUGGAAGUUUCUGCUGCUUUUUUUUUUUUCUUUUGUUUAUAUUAAUCUUGUAAGCUGGUGGAAGGCAUUUAACCUCCUCAUAAACAUGAAAUGUAUAAUGAACGGAAACAACUACAUUUGCUACUAUGUGUUUGCAUCAACUGUUGUGAUAGCAUCUUAUCACUUGACCGCAAAGCAUCUCUAGAAUUUCACAGCCAAAUUUUGGUGGUGAUAUUAAUGUAAAGUGGUUGUCAAUGCCGACUCACUUGAUAUUUUAGUUUGUGAGGCAUCAACUUCCUUUUCUACCUGGGAGAGGGUUGAAAAUUGGAUAGUAACGUGGAAGAGAUAUAAAUAAGAAGUUUUGAAUUCAAAAUCUCUCACUUAAAAAUGAAAGAAAAAAACUUCAUUUUUAACUUGUUUGCCUUAAAAUUUUAAAAAAAUGAAUAAAUAAAAACUUCCUUUUCAUAUUUUAGAAAAUAAUAAUUACUCCCAAAGAAGUCAUGGGCAAUAUUUCUCGGUCCAACAACUUUUAUGUCCAGAGGAAUAGAUAAUUAUCACAAAUCCCUUUAUUUUCCUUGGACUUAAAUGCAUGAAUUAACAAGAAAUAUUUCACGUGCCAAGUCAAAAUAAUCUUCGACAAGUAUGAUUGCUUUUGAUGUUGACUUGAUAGUAAUCAGGAUCUCAGGAGGAGUGAGCAAAAAAAAAAAAGAAAAGGUGGAGCCAAGUGUUAGGUUGUCCACCCCAUUUAUUUCUCUGAAGUUUUCUUCAAGCACCCCAUAAUGUUUUCUUUCUUUAAAAUUCAUCUUUUGAUUAAAACCAAUUUGUCAACUCAGUGCACUUUGAAUAGAUAGGCCACUUGGUCCAGUCAACAUUGGGGCACUGUCUUGGUAUAUGACCAUUUCCUGAUUGAAAAGUUGGCCUAUUCCCAUUGCAACUAUUUUGACCUAUUAGGCAAUAGUGUGUUAACUGGUAAUUUACCAAACCACAUUUUGCGUUAUGAUAAUGUAGCAACCCCUAAGUGGUAAGGUGAUGGGAUUACUUUAUUCUUCUAAUGGAUUUCAUUUCUUAUGAAAAAAACACCUGAUUCUUAAUUGUCUUUCCCUCUCUCUCUCUCCCUCUCUCUCUCUCUCUCUCUUUUUUUUUGGUUUUUGAGGUAAGAUAUCUUAAUCCCCAACAAAUUUUUAGCCCCUUGUAGUACUCCUUGAACUUUGAAUUGAACCAGCCGACCGCAUGAAAUUAGCAAUUGAUAUCAGAAUAGUCCAGUUGUCAUUUUUCGAAAAGGGUUUUUCUAACGGGUGCUCUUAACAUACUCGUUAACACACCUAAUAUUCACCUGUCAUACUAUCUAUAUAUACAUACUAAUAAUUAUUAUCCUCUCUUGCAUUUAUAUACUUUUCCUAUUUAAUUUUGUCUAUCUUCCUUUGUAUUUAUUUACUUCUUCUAAUUAAUCUUAUAUUUUUAAAAAUAUAAUAUCUGAAAUAUAUUUUAACGAGUACUUUAUGGCACCCGUUAGACAGACCGUUCAAAAAAAAAUCAUGUGUAAUAUUUGCACAUGACAUCUUGACAAAAUUACCCAGUUAUUAGUUGCACAAAGUCCCCUUUAUUGGUAAGAACAUAAAGUCCCUUGUCUUGAAGCUUUUCUAUACAAUUUAUUGUGAGAGUCCUUUCCAAAAGAGUACAAUAGAGUGUCCCCAUUUCAAUCGGGAAAGAUAAUCCAAUGGACUCCAGUCUAAAUUAACAAGUACUAGAAUAAAUGUAGUGUCCUAGAGCGAUGAUAUUUGACAUAGAUGACUCUUUGAAAAGUUUGCUUGGGAUCUAGGACUUCUGGCAACUGCACUAUACAGUAGACUAAACUAAUCAAUAAUUCAAUAUAAAUACUAAGAUAACACCAUGUAAAAAUAUAAUAAUUGUUUUAUUUAUUGAAAUUUGUACUCCAAAUUCAAUCCCAAUGGUGGCAGGAAGAAGAAAAUUUAGAGGGAAAGAAGCCUCAAAAAGCUUACUUUCGUAGAAUUAAUUAUGCACUGAAAUAAGCCAAUUAAUUGGGCCUUAAUUUAGUGUUGAAAACAAUUUAUUUUUAAAUCCCACAAAUAGGAUGUUCAUGUCAUCCAGUUGGGACUUAUAAUUCCAAUUUGGGUUAUUACCGCAUCUUGUGCAUGUUGUUUUACUUAAAAUCAUAUCAUUUUCUGGAAAGAAAAAUGAAUACCAAAUGAUUAUUCAUGGUGGUUGAUUGUUCACUGAAGAGUUUACCUUUGUUCUUUAUGUAAAAUUGACUUUGGCGGAUUUGGGAAAGCUUAUGAAUGUUGGACAGUUGGCUUCGUUGGUUGGUCCCAUCAUAAGCCUUUUGCAACAUUGCCAUUCAUUAUCAAAUUCUGAAAAUGCGUACGAGUGUGGCUGGUCUUCUGCCCCCACGGGAUAGUUCGAGCGGUCUAUAUGGUGACCUUUUUGGCUGACCAAGGUUCGAUCCCGUUGUUAACGUGUUCGGUGUGGAGUGGGGCCUCCCCUCCCGGGCUACAGAAUUAGUCGGGCUCCGUAAGAAUUUGUGUUAAAAAAAAAAAAAAUACUUAUUGUGAAGUAAUUGCCAAAAAGUUUUAAAGAAAAUUAAAAAAAAAAAAAAAAGAGCACAAUUGGAUUGCAUUUUCUGGGGAAUCUUUGGAGAAACAAUUACUGUAAUUUUUUUUAGGAUGCGACGUAUGGGUGAUAAAAAAUCAAUUGAAAUAUAUGUAAAAGGAACAUUCACAAAGGACGUAAGAAUUUUUCUCCGAAAAAUCACUUUACUCCGAACAAGGAGUCUUCUAGCAGUAGAUUGCUAGUGCAUACUUUUAUCCAUCCCAGCUCCCAGUUGAAUUCCUCUUUUCACCAGAAAUUUUACCACAUCAAGUGCCUAUGAUUACUGGGUAUAUCAUAUUAAGUGCCUAUGACUACUAGGUAUAUAUGGUCAUCUUUUCAGCACCAGAUGCAGCUUCUUUUUCUGUUUAUAUAUGUUGAAAAUAACACCGGGACAAAAUGGCUUCAAUUUCAUCGAGUUAAGUGGUGUUUGUUAGGUGCACAUGAAAAUCAGGAAUGAGUAUCAAAAUCAAUUAUAACCACACCUAUUUUUUUGGCGUACAUGGUGGGAAUCAUUCCAUGCACCGGCGGAAUUAGGAGUUGAGUUUCAAGGGCAAGGGGUACAAGACUAGUAAAGUUCUACAUUAAAAGUCCUCCUAAAGUUCUACAUUAUCACAGAUGCCGGAUUUAUUGCUUGCCUUUAAAAUCUAGAAACAAGCUGUUGUCAGGGAUUACAGUUUCAACAUUGCCCAUUACAUUCCUUCAUCAUAAUUAUCUCAAAGCUGUUGUCAUGGAUUACAGUUUCAUUUCUCCCUAUCUAAUUAAUCCAUUUCACAUAUUUUGACGUAGAAAAAUAACUAAGGUGUCAAUCCUUUUUAAGUAUACUAACUACUCUAGCUAUAUUUUGAGAAAGAGAAAGAUAAAGAUUGAUGACCCUAAAGGCUUAUAUAGACUCGUAACAAAUUUUGAUUGUUGAUUUAAACAACACAACAACCAGCAGUGAUCAUGCAUUGAGUAGACUUGGACUGGUUGCGAUUGAGGGACUGUUCAAUGUGCAUCGAAUUUAGUUAUAUCUCACCACAACAUUUUAUGAAGGACUAGUUGGUUCAGUUUAUGAAAUCAAGCACCCUAAAAGAACUAGUUUCAUUAGACUUAGGGGUCAUGACUAGAGGUGUCAAAAUAGGUGAUUUGGGCGGGUUUUAGUUGGUUAAAAUGGGUAAUGAGUAUAAGUGAAUCAACCCAUUUAUACCCAUCUAAUUAGAUGGGUAUAAAUGGGUAAGUCAAAAAAUGAAUUAGAUAAUCCAAUUACCCAUUUAUUUUAACUUUUUGUAAAUUCAUUUUUACAGACUAAGUUAUCAAUUUAUACCAUCCCUUGCACCUAUCAUUAGUUUUAAAUAUUUACUUAUAAUGUUCAAUAAACCUAAUUACCAAUUUUUUUUUCUUUCUGUACUCUAUGUCGCAAAAUUACAUACUAUUUAAUAAUUGAACAAUAAGAAUGUAAAAAUUUGAAUUAAGUACUAUAAAAGUUGACAUAAAAACUUAAUCCAAAAAUUUUGAACCCCUAGCAUUUUUCCCGUGUGUAAAUUUAAAAUUUUAUUUUGGAAAGGUAAGAUAAGAGGCUAAAACUUGUCAUAAAUUAGUAAUGCUAAAAAAUGAGCAAGUUACCAAACUAAAAAAAAUAAAAUGAUAAGAUAAAACCAACAAAUAAUAAUAAUAAUAAUAAUGAAACAAAAGUAGUUAACAUGAUGACAAAAUAAAUAUUUUGAAAAAAAAAUGGGUGGAGGAAGAGAGGAGGUUUGGGAGAAGACAAUUUUAAUUGGGUUUGAUGGGUUAUACAAUAAUACCCAUUUAUUAAAUGGGUAUUAUUGAAUAAUUCAUUUAUACCCAUAUACAAAAAUUUAAAAUACAUAUACCCAUCUAUUCAUGGACGGAUAUGGAUAAAUUUAAUUAAAUGGGUUUGUUUGCCACCUAUAGUCCUGACUUUCCUUGAGAUUUGUUCUAGCUAGAGAGUUUACCUUUCCAUCUUUUUGUUACUAUAUUCAGAUAUUAUUAUUGUGCUACCCUACUGCAGUCGAAUCUUGUUUCUCUUAUGCGCAGAAAUUUCAUCCCAUUUAUGAGAACCGAGUUCAAUUUGUACAAAUAGAUUUACUGCAGUAAUACUAGAGAGGGACUGUGCUUAAUCAAAGAGCUGGAAUGAAUGACAAAUAUUGAUUGAUAAAAUUCUCCAUUGUAAAUUUGACAAAGAUCAAGACAAGACAGAAAACAAGAAAUUCUUAAUUAUGUUCUAUAUGCAUUUCUAGUAUGCUAGUCAAAAAUAACAAAAAAAGAAAAAGAAAAAUCUCUUCCAGAUCAAGGUGGUCCAGGACUUAUUUUGACGCCUUAAAACAGUUCUGUGGGAUCAUUUCUACACCAAAUAUUUCUCCCCUUCUUCCCUCUAAUUCUUUUAGGAUUUGAGCAUUAUUCAUUUGGCACAUUAGAAAGAUUUUUCUUAUAAAAAGAACUCUUUUAAACAGUUCGAGCAUUUUACAGUCUCCUUGAUGUUCUAUGAUUCGCUAAUUUUUUUGGCUAAAUUUAUUCAUUAAUAAACCAAACUUGUUUCCGAGCGUUUUGGGCAUUUGUUAGAGCCUGGUCUAUUUCCAUUUUUUUUUUUGUCCAAAGUAAACUUUAAGCCUUAUAAGAGAAAAAGGUAAAAAGAGGACUAAGGCUCCAUUUGAUAACACUGAAUUUGAAUUCUGAAUUCUGAAUUCUGAAAUAAUUAAUUUGCUGAAUUUUAAGCACUGAAAAGAGAUAUAUGAAUGUCUGAAUCUUAAUGCUGAAUCUAUUUAUACUGUUUGAUAAAUAUUCAUAACUUAAUGCUUAAUAAGCUAAAUUGUACAAUUUUGCCCUUCUAUCUUUUAAUCCAAAAAGAAAAUAGAACCUAUGAUUUAAUUAGCUUAAAAUUGUUAGGUAUGAAAAAGACAAUAUUUAUUUUUAAAUCAAAUUAAUAUAAAAGAAGAAAUAUAUUAUGCAAAACAUUAAAAGAAACAUUACAAUCCAAUAAUUCAUAUAACAUAUAAAUUCGACCUAAAAAAUUUAGAAAUGAUUGUUUGAAUAGAGAAUAUCAUAUUGUUUUGUUUAAUUAGAUAAGGAUUUUGAAUAGAGAAUAUUAGGUUGUUUAAUUAGAUAAGAAUUUUGAAUGUAAUUAACAAACAGGGAUAGAUUUGGUAGAUAAGCUGAAGUAGAUGAAGUAAAUCUCUUGAUUCUUAUCAAAUUAAGCACUCAGUUACGAUUCUUGUGCUGAAAAAAAUACAUACAAAUUCAGCACCACUUAAUAAGUUCAACAGGUGAAUUAUUAUUUAUCAAACACCCAAAACCUCUUAAUGUCUGAAUGAAUUCAGUUUCAGCACUUUUUUAUGUUAUCAAACAGACACUUAAAUAUUGAACUAAAACCUCACAAUUGCCUAGUUACUUUUCCUGUCGACUGAGUUGGGUUUUGGGAAUGAUAUCAAAAGAAAAGUUUGUUGGGUAAAAAAAUGAGAAGAAAAGAAAAGUUGUAGAGUUAUACUGUCAUAAUCUUAUUUUUCCUACUUAAAAACUAGAAUAGCUAAAAAUAAAGCAAUUUUGAGUUUUACUGUUGAUCCGUGACGCUCAAUGACCGGAAAUGGAAUGCUUUUUCCACAUUUCAUUUUGGGUAAAAUACCAAAAAAAACUCCCUGUGGUUUGACAAAUGUUUAAUUUAAUUUCCUCUAGUUUGAAAAUCUAUACUAUAACUCCCUGUAGUUUCGAAUAAAUCAAAAAUUGGAUAGAAAGCAUUAAAUCUAAUGGUUGUACGUGAAAUGUCAAUAUUGCCCGUACUAUACGUGAAAUACUUUCCAUUCAAUUUUCAAUUUAAUUGAAACCGUAGGGAAAUAUAUUGUAGUUUAUCAAAUUAGAAGGAUUUAAAUUGAAUAUUUGGCAAAGUUCAUUUAUAUAGGGGCAAUAUAAACAUUUCACAUAUAACUGUUAGAUUGGAUGCUCUCUGUCCAAUUUUCAAUUUAAUUGAAAACACAGAGAGCUAUAAUAUAGAUUUUCAAAUUAGAGGGACUUAAAUUGAACAUUUGACAAACCACAACAAAUUUUUUUUGGUAUUUUACCCUUUCAUUUUCAAUCAGACAUUGGCACUAAGGAGGGGUAAGUGAGGAUCAAUAGACAUAUCAAUGACAGUUCUUAGAUUUUACCAAUUAGAUAGAAAAUUAUUACUAUUGAAAUUCUUAUGCAUUGAAGUCAUCAAUGUCAAAAAAAAGAUGUGUACACCAAGAAUGUACUAGGAAAGAGUAGUCGUUACAUUUCAGUGUUGGUUCCCUCUUAAAUGAAAGAAAUUAAUAGCAUUGCAUUAAUGGGCACCAAAAUUGGUUAUGGAUUAUGGAGAACUCAACUAAUAUGUUGUGUUGUCUUGUUGUGCUUUAAAUGUUUCUCCCUUUUGUAGUCAUUCAGGACCCCCAUAUGAGACCCUGAUUUAAAUAUUUUGGCUGAGAAAUGAACAGCCAACCAAUUUUUUACACAAAUUAUGGGUUACAGGUGGUCAGAAAAGCAAUGCUUUAAAGACCGGCAGAUUGAGUUACAACGCUUCGAAUCUUCUGUCCCCAAAAUAGUUUCUUUCCUUUAUUUAUAUAACUGUCACGUGUCUUUAAUCUUUUGUUAACCCAAACUCAAGUAAAUAGUUUACCCAAACUCAAAUAAAUUUUAGAUUAAAUAACUAUUUCUUGCAAACAAGUGAAUUAUUGGAAUAACUAAAAUUUAAUUAUAAACAAGAAAAGAAAAUAUUACCCGUGACAAUUGCGUUGAACACAACAUACGUUGGCUAUUUGGUUCCCAUAUGUUUAAACCAUCUCUACUACCAGUAGGACCUUCAUGCACAUGCUUAAAAAUAAAAAAUAUAAAUGAAUAAUUAUAUCAUCAAGACUCAAAAAAAAUUAUAUCAACAUAAUAUCUAAUUAAAAGCUUGCUUUUCAUGCAAACAAACCCAUGGUUUAUUUGAGUUUGGUUAACAAAAGGUUAGAGACAUGUGGCAGCUGUAUAAAUAAGGAACAGAAGGGACAGAGACUAUUUUGAGAACAAAUGAUUCGAAGCCCCCUUACAACGGGGCUAACGGUAUAAAGCUAACUCUCGUAAAUGACACAUAGAUUGUUUCUCAGGCUUACCUAGCUAGGAAAUAAACCUGUUUGGAAUGCGAUUUUUUGCAGAAAUAUUUUUUUUGUAUACUUCAUAUACGUCAAAUUGCUAUAAUAUAUUUUUCUACUAAAAUUGCUAAAAAUAGCAAUCCAAAUGUGGGGCAGCCAGAUCCCCUCUCCCCUGGAAAAUUUUAUCCCUUCAUUGGCCAAUCAUUGGUUGUUUGUCUAGAUUAGGAUGGGUGGACAUCAAAAUGUUCUGAAUGAUUCCUGUGUGGAUAUAAUACUAAAUUAAAAUAAUAUUGUGAGAUGUAUACACGUUUUCAAAUGAGCUUUAAGCGAAUGUUUUUAUACCAAGUCGGUGAGUAGAUUGGAUGAGUUUCUAUUUCAUGGUUCAACCGAUUUAUCGUCUAAAAUAAUGUUUACUUUUUUAUUUGCUUUUAUAUUAAUGAUUUGGAUACUUGUAAAAUAUUAAAUAAAAGAAGUGACAACAGGCUCAAUUGUCCACCAGUUCAAUUUCAACCAUCAAAUUCUUUUGUUGUUUUUGACCGAUUCAAUCAAUUUUUUAUUGAGUUUGGCCCAUUUUUAAAAUUUUUGAAAUCUAUUAGACCAAUACCAUAGCUACUGCAUGGUCAAUCAAUCAAAUCAAUCGGUUUGGUCUAAUUUUCAAAACACAAGCACAGAACAACAGAAGCACUGAGCUUUAGUUCAGUGGCUAUCAUCUCGCCUGGUGGGAUGGGAGGUCAGGGGUUCAAUCCUUGCCUCCCACUAAAUUGUUUGCCUGUUAUGGGCAACUCAAUUGAUUUCAGCAAACCUCCUUAGGAGCUGGUGUCCAGUGUCUGCAAGGGUUCGAGUCCUGUGAUUAUCGUGUUUGGAGGAAUGGGACCUCUCCUCUCGGGCCGGACUGGGAUCAGUCAGGCCCCGUAAGAAUUGAUCCGGACACCAACUCUAUCAACAAAAAAAAAAAAAAAGCACAGAACAACAGUAUGUUUUUCAUUGUUUACACAACUUUUUUUUUUUUGUGGGGGGUUGGGGGUUUUGGGGGGGGGGGAGGGGGGUUGGGAUUUGGGGACAUUUGCGUAAUAAUUCUGAAUCCUGUCCAUGCCACUUAGAUCUUUUUUUAGAUCUUUUUUUAAAUCUUAGCAUUGGCCCUUUUUUUUUUCUUCUCUCUCCACCUUUUCUCUGAUGUUCUUUGUUUUCCUCUUCUGUUCCCCCUUUCUUUUUGGUUUCUGAAUCUCUUGGUUCUUCUCCUUCCAAGAAACCUUAGCCACUAUUGUUAGUGGUGGCAACCAGGAUAAAACCAUAACCUUUUUAGUUUUUGCAAAACCCAAGGCAUGUCUAACUCCUCCUUUUUGCAUGGAUAAAUCCACCUCAAUUUUAUCACAACCAACACCAAAUUCACAAUAAUUACACGACAAUACUUCAUAAAAAAAAAAAAAUCAUUAACUUGUUUGAAAGCCUUGACCUUUGUAAUAAUAUCAUGGGGUACCUUCAUGGAUUUCACCAAUUCCCACUUUGUACUCCAAAGUUUUCAGUUAAAAACAAUUCAAACUCUAUUCUUUUAGCUUGUUCAACUUAACAUUUGCUAACCAUUUUAAUGAAAAUAACCAAGGCUAAACAUGACACUAGCAUUUCACAUAUCUGCUGUACUUAGAAGAAAAUUAAAUUAAGGUUUGCAUGUUGUGAUUAAAAUUGAGAUGAUUAACUAAGUGUGCAUGUUAUAAUUUAAAUCAAGAUCGACAACAUCAGCAGAAAAAACAAUUUACAAUAAAAAAAUAAAAAUAAAACCAAAAAAGUCAAUUAAUUGCUCAAAGAAUUCCUCUUAAUUCUCCCUGGAAGGUGCAUGAGAGAAACAAGACGUAUUCGGUUCGGCCUAUCUAAAAUGAGUUUGUUUAAGUGGAUUUAACCGCUGAAAUGAGAUUCUGACCGGUUCAAGAAAGAAGAUAAGAUUAAUACAGCCAUCCAAUUCAAUGUCCAUUACAAUUCUCUGUAGAAAGUAGGGUUUCGGUUUCGUUGAAUUCUGACCUGGGCAUCGGAGCUUUUCUCACAACGAAGUCCAUUUCUUUUCACAAGUCAUUUUCAAGCGGAAAGUCGGAUAACAACCAAAAGGUUCUAGCCAUUUGUUUCCCAUCAAACAUUUUUGACCCGCCAUGGCUUCUUUCACAUAUAUACACAUUGCGAACUGACGACAUCUCCAAGAGAACUAAAGGCUGAGUUGGUUGCGUGGUGCCCUAUCUGACAAAGAAGCGGUACUAUCCCAUAUUUCAAAGUUAUUAAAUCCGAUCCAGUAAGGAACCGACAGAGGGGAUUAGGUUAAUGGGUCAUUGGUUCAAUUAAUGAAUUACUGGUUGAACCGAUGAGUACUAAUUUAGUAUUUAUAAAUAUAAAAUAGUAAUUUUAAUACGCGCAGAAUAUCUAAUAAAGUGCUUUUAGAUACUAAUUAAUGUACUUAGAAGAUUUAAUAGAAGAUUUAAUUUCAUUUUAUCGUACUUAUUCCUAAAAAAUAAUAUAGUCAAAUAUGAAAUAAAAUUGUGUCUCCUGUUUUAAAAUAAUAUAACAUUAAUUUUUCAUUAUUUUAUUUUUAUUUAAAAAUAAAAUAAGUUUUUAACUGCUCAAAUAUUGUCAAUUUGAAAGUUAAAAGGAUUAAUUGUGUAAUAAAAAGGUAAACAAGUUUAUUUAAAAAAUAUUUUGUUAUCAAAUAAAAACUAAGCAAGUGUUAGAGUCUUGUGCACAUUUAAAUGAAGAUCUAAUGUACAAAUCUUAUCAAAAACAUGUAUAUAAUUUGAUUAAAAAACAAAGACCCACAAUUGAAAAAAACAAAAUCAAUUCAAAAAUCAGAUAGAUUUUUGGUUGAACCAGCGAAUCAGAUGAUUUUGUUCAGACUAAUUUCUUGUCCGGUCAGACUAAAAACCCGACCCGAGCCGACCUAAUGUUGGUUCAACACGAGAUUGUUGAAGAACCUUUUUUCUUCAAUAGAGGGUUUGUUUCUCUUCGACUCGUUUUCUCUUUCUAAUUCUUAUACUCCAUUUUACCAGAUUCAUACGACAUUGUAACCAAGAAAAAUAGAAGUAGACCCAUGUCAAAGUUCCAAAAUCUUUCAUGGCAUAUCCUCACCCGUUAAUCUACUUCAAAGUGAAAAUUUUGAAGUAGACUUAAUUGCAAAUGGGUGAAGAUAUGUAGUUGGCAGCUUAAAUUUGCACUCAUGGUAGUUUAGUAUCCAAACUGGCAUUCUUUAUCAUUUUGACCUCAGUACUACUUAAGUGCCCUUAAGCAGCAACCCCCCCCCCCCCCCCGCCAACUUCUCCUCUCUUCAACAACAAAAACACGAAGUCUUUUUGGAUCAAACAACAAUCUUUCGUGGCGCCAUGGAUUUCAAAUCAAUCAUAGAACUUCACCGGUAUUUCACACCAGAGAUUUAUUGAGUGGGUACAACGUUGCAGCUUCACUCGCGAUCAUCGUGGUGUAGAAUUCGUAGGGCAGACAAACUUGGAGUAGCUAUGACCACAGCCCCAGACAACGACAUAACCCCAACACUCAUUAAUCUUUCACAGGACAUCCUGCCCUACAUACUUUACCCAGCCAUCAUUUUCUACUCCUCUGUUCAACAUAAAAAUUUCGUCAUGUACAUGAAUAUCUAUACAAAAAGCUCACAUGCCUAAGGAGUUUUUUUUUUUUUGUUGGGGGGGGGGGGGGGGGGGUUUGCUAGGAGCAAGAUUUUUGUUUUAUAGAUCUUGGUAAUCAAAUAAAGAGAGUUCCUCAAAUGCAUGAAAUUUUAGAAUCUAGGAUUUGUAAAUGCUAUUUUCUCCUUAGAACAGGAGUUCGAAAAUAAGGGGUAAUAGAAGUGAAAAUACAUGAGAAAUCAUGAGAUCUUGAAAUGACACGCGAUUUUUUACUCGAGUUAGAACUCGACCAAGGCAUUUCAAAAUCCCCGUGGAUUUUAAAAUACCAUGAAUUUAGCAUAAAAUAAGGAUUCAAUCUAAACAACCUCAGAAGCGAAAACAAGAUGCAAGUGAAUUUAGUAGCAUUGUAAUGUUUAAUAUGCAUAAAAAGACGAAUGAUAGUAUAAGAAAGCAAUAUGAAGGGACUAGGGAGCCGAUCAGGCAAAGAAUUCCCCCACCCCGUCCAUCAUUCACUAGAAUCCAGCCAUCUUAUUCUUACCUGCACAGGGCUGUGUAUUUGGAAGUGUUCAUUGGUCAAAAGCUGUCCAUAGUGUCACUAGAUUUUGCUUUUAUGAAGCCAUGAAUUGACUGCCACAACCUUGUUUAGGCCAGAACACGGACUAGAAAAGCAUUAAGAAUAGCUUAAAGACACCAAACUAGUAGAAACAGCUAUUUCGGUUUUUUUUUUUUCCCUGCUUUCCACAAUGGCCAACCUAAUUUACUCGGAAAAGCACAACAUUGUUCAGCAGGUUCGAAUACACAAAGAUCAAUUGACUAUAAAUGAAUAACACGUCUAUAUAAAUUUACAGCCAAGAAAAGCAAAAUACUAUGCCAAAACUGAUCUAAAAUGAAUCGUGGCAACACGAUUGCUAAAACACUAGGAAGCCAACCCAAAAUGAAUAUGGUACAAGCAAACAAUCACAACAACAAAAUAUGAUAACCGCCCCCAAAGAGACCAGCCAAUAUUUCCAUAUAAACUCCUCUCUUUUAAAAAGACCAGACUGCCGAUUGAAAGCACAUAGCUAGAAGUUACAACCAAGGAGAAAGCCAUUUUGCGCAUACCCGAGGCGAAUUUGCCCAAAAGCCUUUUGCUCCUUGUACAUCCCUUUAUACGUCCAUCGAUCGAAUGAUAUUUUGCAAGGCCAUCCAAAUCUAGCAAGGUGAGAGGAUACCACCUAACUAUAAAUAUCUUUACUCAGGACUGACUGACAUACAGUACAGGGACAAGCCCAGCCAUUUUACCGUCCCUCCCAGGGCGUUUUUUCUUCACCUGCAAGAAAAUGUGCAAUCAAACAUGUCAGCCACAUUUAAAAAGAAAGAAAAAAGUUUACUGAUUAGAGAGCAAAUAAACUCUUACCAAAAAAAAGAAAAAAGAGAGAGAAAAUAAACAACCAAUCAAAGAAGCUAACUAUGACCCAAUAUAUGAACUAAUCAUUUUCUUGCAGGCCGAAUCACUAAAAAUCAUGAGAUAAAUGCAUUUAUAAGACCAUAUAUUUUGGUCUUGGACAAUAAAGAGGACAGACACUCACAUUAAGCUCUUCAAGGAAAAAAAUAAGCCAUAAAUAAAUGAAGGUUUCUUCUAUUCUGUGCCUAAGCACAACAAAAAGAAGGUGGUGGCCCACUGUAAAACUCUUACAUUAUGCCCCACCCCCUAAAUUGUGUACACUUUGACAUACAAUACUUGAAACUUUUGCAGAUAAUGAAACGCCAGGCCCAUGUAGGCCCAGAAUAGAAGAACCCAUAAAUGGGGAAAAAAAUUCAGAAAAUACAGUUUCUCGUCACAUUUCAUUCCCCCUACAAAGACUCUAUGCCUCUUUAUCAUUUUUCAAUAGCAGUAUUAAAAGUCAAGCUAUAAAGUAUCAUUUCUAAAAGAAUAUGCUGUUUAACUUUGCAGGUCCACAUGUUAUAUACUGUAGCAUGUUUUGCCCUAAACCAGAACCAGAUUCGUUUGACAGGAACACACAUUCAGGUUUAACCAAAUUAUUCUGUAAAAGAACACAUAGCAUUUUAAUCUGAUAAAUUUAAAAGCAUUAAACCUCAUUGUGGUUUAGCUUGACGUAAGAGUUUUCUCUGACAGUCUAAACCAAAUACAUCCUCCAUUAUGGGUCACCCAAAUACAUACUCAUUCCUUCAUGCCUUAAAAUUUUUGCAUGAUUAGUUCUAUUCAACUAUGAAGAUAAACUUAUCCUAUGUAAACUGUUCCACAAAUUCCAUUUGUAGGUAGAGACGGGCAACAGUUAUGAAGUUUAAAGAAUGCUAUAAUUGCAAAUACAGAGCACAUUAUAGCACAAGAGAAUAUGUGCCCAUGAAGACUAGAUAAAGUUAGACAAAUUCCAUUUACCUAUGCAUUAAUACAGAGAAAAGUUUAGCAAAAUCCAUUGAGUAAAAGGAACAUAUGGAAGAUAUGAACAUUCAACUCAAGGUUACAUCUCUUCCACAUCCUUCUUCCAUAGACAUAAUCAACCAAAAAACUCGCAAACGGCUUUAAUUUGGAAAAAGGAAUUUCGACAAGGCAACAUCCAAAAGAAAAAAAGAAUCUGUGAUCAAAUUUCAUCUAAACUGACAUAAAAGAGUAACAUAACUAACACACACACAAUAAGAACAGGCACAACUCAAAAGAAUAUCUUAUUUGAUCUAUAAGAUUAGAAAUCCUAAGAAACAAAACAAAGUCAAGGACAAAAUUUCCUCAUAGGACGAUAAGAUAAAACACAGUCAAGGAGAGAUGAGGGCAUAACGAAAUUGACUUGAGUUCAUGUGCACAUUUUACUUACAUAAAACCAGCCAUCUACUUCAUAUUCAAUUUCAACCUCUUCUCCUGCCGUCAGAUUCAGCUGUAAAAAAUGGUAAACCACCAAACAUCAAUUUCCAGAAACAAAAUGCUUAAGCACAGCGACUUUAUAGAUAUAGAGCUCUGGACACCCAUGGGCCUCAACCAUAAACUAAGAUGUCAUACUUAGAAUAUCAGAACAACCAACAAAUAGACAAGAUGUAUAAGUAAACCAUCACUCAGAAAGUAGCAGUGUAGUAUUGCAAGAUUAAUUUGUCCUAUUUCUUCAGAGUUUAAUUACCACAGCUCAUCACAAAACCACAAAGCAUACCUCAUCAUCACCACCAGCAGUAAAGUCAUAAAGAGCUGUGCCAUGUUGUCGAUUUGUGGAAGAGAGUCGCUCAUCAUCAUGGGAUCCAAAACUUUGUGAGCCAGGACCAGCUAAGGGGUUCUCAAAUGACUCGUAUCUUUGAUGGGUAGGAGAUGAAUAUGGGGGAGGCUCUUCUCUUAUCUUUAAUGCCCAAGUACAAGAAGUAAUGGGAUUAACACUUUCAAAAAUACAUACGAUUUAAAAAAGUAGCAGCAAAGAAGAACCACCACUGCCAUGACAGCAUAAAAGCUCAAAACAGGGGAAUCAAAUUCAAAGAUGCAGUAUGGUGUAGAUGUUAAUUAGGUUGAGAAAUGACAUUAAAAAAUGAAGAUUGAUCUAAUUUGAAAAAACCAGCCAGCCUAAGUAACCAUGAUAAAGCAGUCACCAGAUUCUAAGCAAAAUAAGAGAGACAACAGUCUGAGUUGGGAAACCAACUUUCUCUGCUUCUUUUACGGACGUAUCCUGAUUUAUAAUUAAGCUUACACCAGUUGUAGGAUCUUUAAAGGAUAUUUAAAUAUGAAAAUUACAACACAACUAUAGCUCUUUCUUUACAUUUAGUAAAUUAAUGAUGGCAAUAAGCACAACUCAAUGGUUCAGAUGUCCAUACCGGGGAAUUAAAACCCUCAUAUGAGUUUCCUCCAAAGGAAGGAUGGCUAAAUCUGCUUCCACCAGCCCUCUCCUGUCAUUAAAAAAAAAAUGUGGCAUCAUUAUCUUCUUCAAUACCAUUUGCCUGUCAUUUUUGAAUAAAUAACCUGUUCAUCAUAUCAACUUGAAGGAGCUGAACUCAAAUUAUAAAGUUUAUUUGUCAAAAUAAAAGUUUCUAGACAGCAAUUAGCUGAUUCCAAGGUUCCAGCAAACUAACCCUAGAACAAGAAAUGCCAUGAAGCUGUAAACUUGGAAGCAUUAUUGCGAAGAUGCUUUUUCUUUGCUUUCCUAUGUUCAUGCAUGUUGUACAUAAAAGCAAUGACAAUAUAAAAAGAAACCGGUUCACAUCGAUCCCAUUUGUCUCAAAAGAUACUGGAACCAUACCAAACAUUUGCGGAAUUGCAACAGUGUGCUUUCGCCAUGUGUUUACUCACGUUUUGUUAUAAGGUUGAGGAAUUCCAUCAAAUUUUCAAAAGUGGAAAAAACCUUGUGGAAAAUAAUUUGCAAUUUUGUGGAUCAAUUAUUCCCAUAAUAAUGGUAACUGUGCUGUGUGCAGUUUUCCUUUGCACUGACAGCUCACAUGAGAAAAAACCAAUAAAAUACAAAAACAAAAAAGGAUCCACAGUUUUGAUGAAAAAAAUAUUAAAUUGUUUUCUAAUUGUUACUAAAAUUCAAGAUAUUUCCUUUAAUUGCCUUUUCAGUCCCUUUUGCAUUGGAAAAUUUGGUAACAAAACACAAUAUUCAGAUAAAACAAGAAACGAUUAUAAACCACCCUACCCAAUAUGAUAACAGCAACUCCUAACCAUUAACAGAACAAGAUAUUGGAAUAAAACAAAGUUUUACGCAAUAAACAUUUAUGCUAAAACAAACAUAUUCAGAAUUAAAUGCUAGGUCAAAGAAUACCUAAUUAGUAUCCAACUGCAAUUAAACUAGAAUGUAUCUAAAAUCCAUAAAUGUUAUACCGUGGACUGAGAAGAACCAUAAGUGGAGGGCUUCGAACUGAACAGCGAUGGAUAGUUCAUUCCACCAAAAUGAGAUGAUAUCGAUGUCUCAACUGAUCCAACCGAGUCAGGGGAAGAAGAACCAGAAGACCUUGUAUCUUCCUGUGACAACAAAAUGAUAGUAGUAUAAAAAUAUCUAUUAUACAAGUAGACCCCAAUAUAAUCCAAGUCCAAGAACCUCCCACAAAGCAAAUUAAAAACAUAACUACAACAAACUUGCACAGCUAUAAGAUCCAGUAUCUAACCUCCAUUUCUGUGGUCUCUAAAAGAGUCUUUGCCCACAUAUCGUCGUAACUCAUGGAAGGUCUAGAAGUAAUAUUCUCCUCAACGUCAGGAGCAUCGGUACCAGCACCAGAAAGGAAUUCAUUUACCUAAAGUUAUGCAAAGGUCAAAGAAUAUGUAAUCCAGCAUGACAUAAAAAGGCAACAAUUUAUAGCAGGGAUGUGAGAUAUGGAUGAGUUUUUUUAUGAUGAUAUGAGUAGGUUACUUCUUAGGAUAGCAGAUUAUGAAAUCCUAAAGCAACCGUUUACUUCCAAUAACUCGCAACAAUUAAGAUACCAACAUGUUUACAAACUGAGAGGCUCAACUAGAAGGAACCAGUGGAUACAAGAAUGUCCACAAGCUUAAGGAACCAAGAAAGGAUCUAUACUCUCAUCCAACAUCAAUAAUCUAUUGCUAUUCAAUGAGCUUCUGAAAAACAGCACUGACUGGAAACCUAUUUUUGUGCAAAGCCGGAGUUAUUUAUGUUCAAUGCAGAAGUAACCGAACAGAAAAAAAAAUGAGUGGACCUCAUACCACCAGGCCAAAAUCCAUGGUACUUGUAAGAAUGUAAAGUUGGCGAAACUUCAAUCCCUCAAUCUCAAAAAUAUGACUUUCUUAGCACCUCUGAGAAGCCCUCUUACUAAUGUUUAAAAAGAAAAACUAAACACAAAAACAGAAGAUUAAUUGAUCUCGUACCCUACUCAUUGCAGGAGCAUUACUUCCCAACAAGCCAUCAUCACCAAGGUUUGCAGCCCAUGCAUUUACAAGGUCAUCAUCAAGUGUGUCAGGCUCAGCAGGCGUUGGUUUGGCUGUUUCAUAGAUAAGAUCAGAAAUGCCAGUGGCAACAGCUGGGUCACUGAGGCCGGUUGAUGCACUUAUAUUAUGCCGAGUGCGGUAAAUGUCAAUGAGUUUUGCACUGUUGAGUGUUUAAAUAUAGAUAAACAAGUAAACAAUAUGAAUAUUGUGAGUACCAAGGCAGAUUAAAGAAAAGAAUAAAAUUAACACCAAUAUUUAGCCACAAAAAUGUAUAAAUAGUUUGCGAUCUAUACUAAAUUGACUUUCAUUUUUUUUUAUUGUUAGCCACAACUAUGUCUGACACAUCUAUAGUGGACAUAAAUUUGUGGGUAAAUAAUUCAAAAUACCCAAAGAAAUGAAACUGAAAUAAAAACCCUACAUCAGACAUGCAUCAAGUUGCCAUGUAAGAAAGAUUGGAAAAAGGAAAAGAAAAGCAAACUGCAAAUAUUACUUGUAACAAAUGAAUUGGACAUUGAAGGUUCAAAGUCCCCAAAAAAAAAAGUAUAACAAUUCAGUAAAAAUGAUAAAAUAGGAGAAAAUUACACUGGCCUCAGUUGAGAUCAGUCCUAAUUAAAGGAGGUAACUGUAAUUUACUCCAAAAAUAAUGUACCUUGUCGGCCCCAAAGGAAGAUAUUUGGCUCUUGGUACAUAACAAAACAGUGAAACAAGAUCUAACAGUCUCUCAUGAGUUUCAUAUAGUUUCUUAAGUUCAUCAUCUGUCCACUCCUUUUUGGCAUUGUCAUGAUUCCGCAUCUCCCUGAAGUAUGAAGGUCCAUAAUAUGUGUUAGAAACCAGAUAUAUGCAGCAAUUGCGAAUAUUAAUAACAUCUUCUUGCUAAAAGUGACAAAUCCUACUCUUACUUUAUCAGCUCAUCUUGUGCACCAUACAUUUCGUCAAGGACUUUUAUCAUAGGACUUAUUAAAGAUCCAAGGCCAGUACCACUAGCUCCUUGAUCUUCUCCAUUACUAACAUGCAUAUCUGCAAGUUGAGACUGCAGACCACCCUGUUCUAAGGUAUGUAAAAAUUCAUAGAUUUGCAGCCUGUAAGGCUCGCCAGAUCUAAUUGCCAUAGUUGUAAGAGCCUGAGCAGCAAUAAUACGAACCUGGAAUAAAACAAAAAUAAAAAUAACAAGAAGAAUUAUGAUGAGCUAUAUUUGAACCAGCAAACCAGUUCAAACCAUUUCUCAAAUUCCACCCCUCCCCUGCUGGAAAAAAAAUUUUUUUUUAAAAGCAGCAAACCAAUUAUGUUCUCAAUUUCAUAGACAGAAAGUAAAUAUAUCCUACAUGUAGCCAAGGAAAAAUACAUUGGGGUAGGUAGGAAACUAAAAUAUUCACAUUCUAUCCUCAUAUAUGGGGAUCAUAUGACCAUGCAAAAUAUGUAUUUGGAAAUAGUACAACUGAAUGAGGUUAACACCAGACACCAAAUUGAAAUGCAAGAUAUCAAUGUGGAAACGUAAGGGUGCUUUUAGAAUCUCUCUCUCAUGAAUUUGUAAUUACAUCUGCAUUGAUGAGCCUUUGCUCUAAUUCCUCAGAUGAAGCCCACAACAGAGAACUUUCCUGAAAGAUUUACUUUUCUUGACUAAGGUUAACACCUGACACCAAAUUGAAAUGCAAGAUGUUGAUGUCAAAAAGUGAGAGUGCUUUUAGAGAGUAUAUCUCAUGAAUCGCUAGGUACAUGGUGCACUGACAAGCCUUUGCUAUAAUUCUUUAAAUGAAGCCAACAGAUAGAAUUUCCUUUAAAACCCGAAUAAGCAAUAGAUCAUGUCCUGCUCCCCACAAGAAUUGCUCCUCUGGUCUUCGACAUGCCAAGUGGUAGUGAUGAUAUGGAUGUUUAACAACCUACUGCUAGGCUUAUAUUGGGUCUCCUAAGUCCCACAGCUCAGCUAUUACUACCAACAACAAGUCUAAUACACAAGAUACAACAGAAUCUAGGAAAUGCCUGUCCUACAUUGCAACCUGCCCCAAGUCGUAAAUGGAAGAUUUGGACAAAGGUUUUCUCCUGAGCUCUAUUGACAUGUGUGGUGGUGCAAUUUGAUGAUGAUUGCAUAGGUUGCCAUGCUACCCAGAUCUAAGAUGCUUCUUUCACCUCUAUAUGCUGAAUAUAGAUGUUCACCAAGCGAAGGUACAUUCUUAAAGCAAGAAACCAACAUAUAUUUCUAUUUCAAAUUGAGAUAUAUUCGUCUAUAUUCACCAGAUUUCACAAGCACGAAGAACAGUUAACUUUUCAAGCCCAUGCAAUGAUCAUUACAGUAUUUGAUCUUACCUCCCAGCUACCACUGAAAGCGCAUCUUUGGAGCCGAGUUAGAGCACCAGCAAGAGUUGGAUUGCGAGAACUUGCAGCAGCAACCAUUUUAUCCGCAUCCAACAUCAUUAAUGCAGUACCAGGAGGUGUAGCUGAUUCCCAAGCAUACUCAGAGGCAGCAUAAUUUGCAUUCUCCCCAAGGAACCAAACCUGCAAUUGCAUGACAAACAUUGCUAAUUGAAGAAGCCAACUUUCAAUAGCUGUUUAGAAAUGAUCAGAAACAUCAUCUUGGAUCCCAUCAAUUAAACACAUUUCUUACCGCUGCUUGGACUAAACGCUGCAAAGCCAAAGCAGAUUUUGGAUCGGAUGCUGAUACCCUGUCAAUUGAGGUAAGCUCAGACAUUGAGCCAGGCUGUGGAGGUGGUAAAUCUAGCACUAUUGUGACUGCCUCGAGAGCUGUGUGCUUUCCAUCAGGGCCAGCUCCAACAAGACAAGUCUGCAAGCAUAAACGCUAUUAAAAGCAGUGUCCUACCAACCACAGAGAGGGGGAAAAAAAAGCUACAAGAGGAAUCAGAGAGAUGGCUUUUAACACAAGAUAAAAGCAUAAAACAAAGCAAGGUAAUUAAUAAAUAAAAAUGUAUUGACAAGAAAUCUUUUCCACCAUUAAUGAACUAACAUUAGGCCUCAAUUUCUGGCAAACGCAGUCCCCAAAUUCAUUGGCUAAAUGAGGUCAACACAAAACUCCUCAAGUUCAUGAAAUCCACAGGCACACAAAACAAACCUCAGACUGUACAUAUUAGCAGACAACCUUACUGGCACUCCUUUAGACCUCUACUCAGAUCAUUUUCUAUACAUGGGUGGUUUGUUGGGAUAUCUGCUCUUUCUAGUUGUACAAUUACUAUUCCACGGGGAAAAAUUAUGGCAAGAAACUUGAUUCUUUUUAGAACCAGAAUCAGCAGUUUAUACAUAUGAUGAUUAAUAUCUUAUAAGUCAGAAUACAGCCUAGUCACAGAAUACCAAAUCCAAGUUGAGAAACAAUCAGUGAGAACCUACUUUCCACAGUAGUUGCAGAACAUCAGCAUCGAUCUUCCCAGGAACUUUGGUAGCAAAAACCCUUGCAAUUUCAAGAAGAGUAACAGCCAUAUCUGGUGUAGCCUAGUAAGCCCAUAAUGAAAAAGAUAGCUGUAAAUAUAUGGCGCCAAAUAAGGGGAGGAAAAUUAUACAAAUGAAUGUAGUCUCAACUUCAGGCAUGCUCAAAGACCUAACUGGUUUAUUGAAUGUAUAUCAUAGAUAAAGAUGCAAACAUACAUAUGCAAUGGAAUCCUUUUCUGACAACAUCUGAGGUUGAAGGGUUCCAAGUUUAAGGUUAGAUAAUUUUCAAUAAAUUUCUCAUACAAGUUGUCCUAUAGGGAAAAUGUAGAAUCACACACUUCAGCAUUCAAUACACUCUUUUGACAAAUUAAAAAUUCUGAUGCAGAUAAACAAGUCCACAUACCUAGUAAAUUAACAUUUAGAAUUUGAGUAACAAAAGCAAAUUAAAUGAACAAGCUACUGUUCCUAACUGUAUUUUAAGUUGAAAAAUCAAUUCAAAUAUUCCAACACAAAAGCAAGGGGGGGUCAAAAAAGUUCAAGGGAGAAUGACUUCCUAAGGCAAAUCCAAGGUCGAUCAGACUGCAAAUCCGUGGUCGAUCAAAUCAAUGCAAGCCAUGUCCAAGACAUUAGCAUUGCAACAGUUCUAGAGGAUAUUGAGGAGCUGAAGGAAGAUUUUGAAGAGUGCAAUUUCUCCUUUGUGUAUAGAGCAGGCAACAUGUGUAGCCAUACACUAGCUCAAAAUGCAAUUAAGCUAGUACAUGAUAUAGAAUGGGACAAUGAGUUCCCGGUAUGGCUGAUGGAUAUAGCUAGGAAAGAUAUGAGGGCAGUUGCCCCUUUUUGUAACUAAUGCUUGCACUAUCAAGUGUUAAUAUAUAAAAGUACUAAUUACGUUUGUUGGAACAAAAAAAGAAUGACUUCCUAAGGCAGUUAACAGAUUUUCCAAAAUUUAGGAAGGCUGGCCUUCUUUUUCCAUCCACCAGCUGUUGAAAGUAGCAGAAAUUGAUUAACUGAGCUUUCAAGGUAACAAAAAGACCCCAGAGCUCAAUACUACGAUUCUCACCAAAAAAAAAACACACACACACACACAGAGUAAAAUUGAUAAAAAAAAAAUCAAGGUGGGCGCAUUACUACAGCCUUAAAUGUCCAACUGGACAUUCAGAACACAGUUUCAACAGAAUUUUGACUCGUCAAAAUCACAUCUCAUUCCAGUGAAUAUCAUGAAAUCCCAAUGACCAAAUAAUUGGAUAAGUUCCCUGCACGCAAAUCUUCUCACAAAAAAAAGGACAAGCAAAAUCUCUAAAGGAUAAGCAUAAAGACUCCUAUAAUAAACCUUUCACGACUUUUUCUCCCAAACCAAAGAAAAUGUAGAAGGAAAUUGGCAAACAAGGAAACAUUGGAACCCAUAGUACAACUGAAAUCACAAAAGAAUGCUAAGCACUGGAGAAAGAAUUCAGGAGAAUUCCCAAAGCCAAUCACAAGCUAAACUGACCAAACUUCCAGAAUUGAUGAGAACCAUAACCCCCAGAAACGGAUGGUAGCAUAGAACGAAAGGAAAGAAAAUGAGAUAGCAUUAGGAAAAAGACCAUGUUACCAGUUCUACAUGAAACCACAGAAUAAUGUCUAGCAAUUCGACGAAGUAGUCCAAGAAGCCAAUGAGAGACAAAAAAUUCAACUAUAUAUCAACCCUAUAGUUUUUGAUAUCCUAACUCUCACGCCAACUCUUUGCUAAACAGAAAAAGCUUCUUCCAAUGUGCAGCAAAUCCAUGAAGGAUCUCAGUAAUUGUGAAAACUGAAGCAGAAGAUAAUAAAGACCUAUUUUGGCCAAUUAGUGGCAUAAAAAUACCUUACAGAUAUACAAGUGAUUCAUCCAAUUCCCAAAGGACAAAAUAUCAAUAUAAGUUUUACUUUUGUCACCUGCUCAUUUACAUACCUUAAAACGAGCGUGCAAUGUAAGCAAUAUAUCAUUUAGUAAUGUUGCUGGCCAAGAUGGAUCAGAGAGCUCGGAUGCAAUGAUGGAUUCUAGUUCACCAAAUGAUUCAUGUGGACUUUGCAUCCAUAUGAGAGCUUUUAUUACCAUAGCACGAACAUAAACACAUUCACAUGCAACAGUUGUUCGUACCACCUCCAUCAGGGAAGCUAAUAGGCCUGCAAUUGUGUCCUUGCCACUUGUUCCAUUAGAUACCGAGGAAACGCGACGAAGACCUAACAAAGAAGAGAUCAGAAGAGCAAAAAUAAAAAUUGCUUACACUUUUAACAGAUAGACAAGGUUAAACCACUGGUCAUUAACAGUUCUCUCUCAGCAUAAGCUACACAAGUACAAAAGAACUAAAACCUUUUCAGUUUUUCAUUGAUUGUACUUAUUUGCUUUAUAUGGGACACCAUUACUCCAUUUGAUUUUUUUUUUUUUUAAAAAAAAGCAAAUAAAAUCUUGAAGCCUAGAACGGGGAGAUAUAAAAUGUUCAAAAUUCUAAAUAAAAUGUAUCACUGAAAUUAGUUUCCAGGCAUAACAGCACAAAAUACAAUGCAGAUUGACCUAUGAAGAAUUUACUAACCAGAUAAGCUAUCACCAUAAUUUACAGAACAAAAAUGGCCAGUGCUAUCUAACCGAGAUUUAGCUUUUCCUGUUGGAUAUUAUCUUCCUUCAUGUAAAACCAAAAGUAUAUCCACCAACAUCUAUUUAUACACAUUCUUGGAAAUUAAAACAUAAAAUACUAGGGUUUUGACAUUGACAAAUAUAUGGGCCCAAGCAAAAGGGAAAAGAAAUGAAGAACAUCAAGAUUAGCAAGGCCAGCUACAGAUAUUAGAAAGUUAUAUCAAUCCUGCAUGCACUCAGUUCACAACUAAGAGCAAAGGACAUCAUACAUAAAAAGCCCGUGGUUUAUGUGCAUGAAACUUUAAUUACACAGACACAAAUAACUAUGUAUAAGCCCUUCACUGAUCCAUGAUACAAAAGAUGUAAAUAUUAGAUUUAAUAUUAGUAAUCAUGGAAAACCAUAUCAAGGAGUCUGCAAGUAAAAACUAUGCAGAUACAUGACACAACCAAAGAAUAACCCAAGCAAAACAUCAUUGAAGAAAACUUCGUAAACGACAUAGAACUACAUCAUGCAUCAUAGAGAUGUUUCAUGGCAACAAACAUGGAGUCGAACACCAAGCGAUUAAAAAGCAAAGAGAAUUAAGAUAUUAUGACAAAGUUGCUACCCUCAGAUGUCUCAUUCAGAUCUUGAUCAUAUGAAUCACUACUUUCAGAGAAUGAAUUAAUGUGAACUCCUUCAUCUAUAUCCUGUAAACCAACAGCAAAAGCUGCAGCACGGCUUUUCCCCAUUUCCUGCACAACCCUAGCUGCAGCAUGAAGUACAGGACGAGAGAAACUACGGAAAGAACUCUCCAACCUGCAAAAAUAUAGCAGCAGUCAAACAAUUUUGGUAUCAUAAUGACAUUUGACUAGCUCAGUCCACAAAUAACUAUAUUCCGGAAAAAUAAGUCCAUAUAGAAUUUCAAGCAAAGGAGAAACGAACGAACCUCCUCAUUACAAGUUUUAUGAGCGGUUGAGGCCGCUUUGUCUUUGAAGAUUUUUCUUUAGAGCUCUUUGCAGGAGCAGCAUCUUUAGAAUCAGCCUUUGUCUCUUUCACAGAAGGUGCUUCAGGAAGCUUAAGAAUCUCUCUUGUCAGACGAUACCAUCCAACAGCUCGUUCCUCAGUCCUACAGAAAAUCAAAGCAAGAAGACAAAUGAGAAGUACUGAAGAUACCAAAACGGGAAGGAUCUGAGAUGCUGCAGCAAAUUCGACAAACUAACUAUCAAGCAGAGCUGAGGAAAAAUUGAAUUUGGAAUAAACAGUAUACCUCUCUGCAUUAUCCAGCUUUCCUAAUACACAGAGGAUAGCCUCAAAACAAACUCUUUCACUGGGGUCAAGGAGGAGCUGAUAGAGCACGGAACUAAACUGAGACCUAAUAUCUGGCCGAUCUGCAUACAUGUCCAUGUAAUCUUUCAAUGCUUUCAUCUUUAAACAAUUAACAAGCUUGCAACAUAGAAAAAUGAGAAGGGAGAAAAAGGAGGGGAAAAAAAGUAAUAAGUGAAAAUUCAUGGUGUUGUGCAAGGUACUCUGAAAUGGACAUACCAUCUAGUGAUCGAGCUCUAGAAAUCGUAUGGCACAACCUGGCUAAUGCAACUCUUGCAAGAACGUCAUGCAAAUGAAGAACAUCAUGCAGAGCCCCUGAUUAUACAAAUUAUUGGAAGUAAUUUUGGAUCAACAGAAACCAAUGCCAGUUAACAUAGAAAACAUGACAAUUGAAAGGAAAUUAUCACACAUACCACCAGGUUGCACAACCUUUCCUGCAAAGAGAAAAUUUAGGCCCAUAAGGAUGACUUCCAAAACUAAGGCCAAAAUAAACUAGACCACCAUGUUUUAUGAAAUUGAAAAAUUAUAAUUACAAUUCAUAUGUUAAAUUCACUAGAAACAGAAAAAAGGUUCUCAACUUUGCAAUGUAAAAAAUACCAGAACAACAGAAUGAGCAGGAGAUGCCUAAAUUGCAUUAAAAAGAAUUAUCCUAAAACAGGCUACUAUGUCAGUGACCCAAGAUUCCAAACAACUUACCACACAUGACCACAUUUAAUUCCCUAUUUGGGCAUCCCAUUUAAUUUACAAGUGAAAUCUUCUCCCCAUACUAUACACUUUUAUACACAACAAAAUAAUCAGUUAUGGAAUAUUUCAAAGUCCAUUUAAUGAACCAGGGAAAAGACAGGAAGUAAAAUCGUAAUAAUGAGAAAAGGGGUUUAACAACAAAGGUAAAAUUCACAAGCCAAUAAUAAAAUCAAAAAGUUGAAAAAGAAAGUUCAUGGUACAGCAGCUCAAUAAUAUGUUUAGUGCUGGAGCAUUGAUGCAACAAGCAAAUUUUACCAGAUAUAUUCUUAAGUUUUGUUUAAGGUCAUGCAUUCAAAAUGCAUUCUUUUCUUGUGUUUUUCUUUUCAUGUAGUAGUUCUAGAACAUUAUGUUUGUUAACUUUUGCCAUAACUCAAACUUCAGAGUCAAAUACAUAUCCAUUUCAGAUUGAAUCCAAAUGGCAGACAUGUCUUUAAGAUUAAUUUAAGAUUUUAAACAGUUUCAUUUACCCAACGCCAUUGCAACAGCAUAUGGAUCGCUUGUGCCUAGUUCAGAUAGAAUUUCCAAAGAAUGCCUAACAGCUACUGGAUCAGCAAAUGAAACUCUGCAACAACAAAGGAAAACAACAUGACAAACAGUGUUAGAUAUGCAAGACGGAAAAUCAUUACUCAUAAAUCUCAACAUUAAAGGUCAAGAUAAAUUUCUGUACCAAAAUACUAUAGCAUGAAAAUAAACCCUUAAAACUGAACCUUGUUUCAGCAACAUUUGUUUACCAAUGCGUCAUAUGCAGAAGUAAAGAAGCAGAGAUACAGAAAAAGAAAGUGGGAUCAGGAACAAAGACUUGGCAGGGAAUGCAGAUUUCAAGAGCUAGUGCAAAUAAGAGAUAAUGCCAAAGAAGAAAAUUUUAAGUACAUGGAGAGCCAAAACAUGUUAUUUGGUAAAAACACUGAACCAAUGAUUUCCAUUUGAGAAUUAUAACGCAAUCUUUGUAAUAAAGCAGUUGCCUGAACAAGUGAAUGCAGAAACUUUAUCACGACCAUAAUUUGGGAACAAAGGUAUCACAAGCUACACAAACUACUUUAGAUUGAUAAAUACUGCCAAUUUUUCAGUGGAUGGAACUUGGAAGUGGCAUAUAUUUACAUCCAUUGAGCAAGAUAAUUACGGAAAAAUCGUACAGUGAUAACAAAUUAAAGGCAGAUCUGCCUACAAUGGAUAGUCCUCGAGUCCUUAUUUGAGGUCAAUAUGACAUGAGAUCAAUUAGGCCUUGAAAUUUGAGAUCAAAACAAGGACUUUUCUGGGCCUGCAUUUUGAUAAAGAGAUCCACCAGAAUAGGGAAAGAAAAAAUAACAGGAAAAGGAAUUAAUGCUUUCAGCUAUAGCUGGAUAGCUUGAUGUAUUCCUCCCAACAAAAAGUUUCCAAAAGCAUCAUGAAACCAAAAGGACCAAAUAAUAUUAUUUCUCCAGUCUACAAUUGAAUAGAUACACCAAGAUCAUGAACUAAUUAUGAUACACUUGGAAUUUGUAGAAUAUCCACAAAUAAACAAAACCAACCUUAGAACUACAAAGAUGCUAUUGUUGCCUAAAUAUUUACUCAUCCUAGAAUAUGAUUCUGUAGAAAGUCUUCAAGAGCCGCCUUUCAAGGUGAAUCAAUUUCAAAAAAAAUCUUCCUAAAAUUAAUCCUUCCAAUAUUGCUAGAAUUUCCUGGGUUGACACAUCUGACAUUCUGAAAUGAAUUCACAUAUUAGUUAGAUAUAAAUUGGAAAACAUGUAAGAUCAGUAUGUUGGUUAAUCCACAUUUGCAUAUAUCUAUCCGACCACCUUGUUGGAACUCCAUUAUCCAAAGCUUGGAAUUAGUACAUUACUAUGUAUUUAAUUACAAAAGAGUGAAUAAUGUUCUAGGAUGAACCAACAUGACCAAGGCCUCCAACUUGCAAGGAGUAACUUUUCUUGAACAUUCAAUGGCAGUAGUGAAAACCUUACAUACUAACAUGAAUAAAAAGUUCCCCUGAUCCCGUUCACCUUUAUUACUGAAAUAUCAUCACAGCCAAAAUGCAAAAGAAACUACAGCUGCCAUUCCAUCGAGCAAUAGAAACAAGAUAAAAUAAAUAGCUGACCCUUGUACAGCACGAUGAAGAAAUGCUGGAUUUCCUGGAUCAAGAGGAAGUCUUCUCAAAGCACUUAUGGCAGCAUAUUGCAAGUUACUUCGAAUGAUAGACUGAGACAACAUAAACAGAACAAAAAAAUCAAAAUCACACUUCAGUAAAAGUCAUGUAUCAAAUAUAGAUCAACACCAUGAUAUCCAAUGUAGAAAGGUCAUCUUUGACUUGACACAUCCGGCUAGUUUACUUCUAAUACAUUGAGAAGUUUAUAUGCUUUUGGUUUCACAAAAGCCAAACUUCUUCCGUCAUGGAGAAAAGAAGAGCUUUUACUGGAUAGAGAGAAUAAGAGUCAUAUUUCCUAGCAUCAUUAUCCCCAAUUGAGAAGCUGUAUGAGAAUGAUCUUUCCAUUUCUCUAGCAUCCAAAACUAUUUGUCGUUCUUAAAAAUUUGAGAAAAAUAAGCCAAUUUUGUCCAGAUAAAGUCUAUUUCAUUCCAUAAAAAAAUCUUUUCCCAUUUCUUCAAAGCAAUCUGAUCAAAUCAUACACCCAGUCUCUAUCAUGUUAGAAGCUUAGUCCAGAUGGAUCUACUGCAAACACAACUAAGAACUCAGUAAAUGCAUAAGUCAGAUGCCAUCAGACAAAAUUAUUGAUAAUUUAUACAGGGAAAUAAUGAGAAUCAUGAACAUGAAAAAAAUAAAUAAAUAAAUGAAUGGAAAGAAAAAAUCAUGAAUUUUAACGACUUUGGUUGGGCUGAUUAAUACUAGGAUACCAGGAAAAAACGAAAAACCAAAUAAAGCAGAAAAAUUAUUAAGUGACGGAAGUGAGUAACAUACUACCUCUUUGUCGCCUCCUUUUGCCCCAAAGAUGCCUUUCUUGCGUUUUUGAGGGUCAGCAACCUAAAUAACAAGCGACAAUUAAUAUAGCCAUACAGCUUUCAGUUCACACUCAAACUAUCUAAUCAUAUAGUAUAGAAUCUCAUCAACAACUAUGCAAAACAUAGAUGAAUUAAAAAACAAAUUCUCUAAUUGUCCAUCAAACCAAAAAGUGUUUCAGGUACAAUAUUUGGGAAUGUACAACAUCUACGAAGGUCUACUCUAGUUACCACCAUGGGGGCAGUUAAGAAAAAAAAAAUUCCAGUUUUCAGAAGAUUGAUUCAUGUCCUUCUAUGAUGUGCAUGACUAAUGCCCACACUUCAGAGGUCAUUAAAAAUUUCCUUUCAGAAUAAAUGGAGAUAACACUGAUUACUUUCACAUCUGUGUUUUUUCUCUCUUUUUUACACCUUCUCUACUCCUCUUUUUAGUCUAAAUAUUACGUCAAAUCUUUGAAAGCAUCAGCCAUUAACUACUAUGUCCAAGCACAAAUCCUAUACCAUCCUCUACUUAGCCCGUUAAAGAUGCAUCCAACGUAAAUCGGAUUUUAGGUCCUUGCUUUCCUGUUACAUGAGCUCCAGUAAGAUCCAGAUCAGACUGUCAUUCAUGGAUUUAUUUUCUGUUAGCAUAUAUUAUCUAUCUGCCUUAAAAUUGGAGCAGAAAACAACUUUUAUAGUGUAAUAGACUCCAAUAUUCAAUUUCUUGAGCAGAACCUUUAGAAGUCAACAUCUUUUCAGGAAAAACCACAGAUCUAAGUUGCAACCAAUCUAAACAGGUUCACGCCCAUAAUAGAGUAAGAGUAGCAAAGAACUGUCAAAAGAGCAAAAGCUACUCAUCUUUCCAAUGUGCGUGAGAGAGAGAGAGAUAUGAGGCAUAUAUCUUUUGCAUCAAGACAAACCUUAUCUAGAAUGCUAAACACAAUCUCAUACAACUUGGUCAAGAUUUCAGAGCUGCUGGAAGGAGCAUAUGUCAGAGCCUUCAAUGCUUGGAGCCUUCGUGGAUGAACUUCACAUGUGAAAAGAGAUAUCAACAAUGGAUAAACCUUAAUAAAAACCGUAGAUGAUAGGAAGAUGGAUUUUCAAGGUAAGAUAAAUGAAUCAGUUGAUGCUUACAAGAUUACCUUAAUCUAUUAUAUUCACCAUUCCUAUCUGUUUCUAUCCAGAUAAUUGCCUUUAUGCAGAAGGAAAUGUCAUUUACUCUAACCACUUGAGUUCCCGUUGAGCCGGAAUACUACCUGCCCCUCAAAUGGAAGCACACAUGACUGGGACAAAAUUAUGACAGUCAACUAAAGCCAUAAAUUUAUCAUCACCAAUUCUUAGCCAGUUUUAUCGGCCCUACCCCGCAUUGAUCAGGCACAAAGAAAUGAAGUUUUUUCAGAAGUAACUACAUUGAAGAAAUUUAAGAGCUCUCUGCUGAUUCAUGGAUUAUAAGCUCCUAUACCACUUUACACUAAACAUCAGCAUCAACCCAUAGCAUUGACAAGGCACAACCAAAAGGAAACUAAUUAGAAGUAACUGAAGUAAGAAGUUAUACCCAAAAGAAAAAAUCUCAUAAAUAAAAUAAGACAGAGAUUGAGAGACACUUUACAUUCAACAUCUUCAUUUAAGGCCUCAGAGGUUAGCCGAUCUACAAUUCUAGGUACAACAUCAGCUCGUGUCACUCCGCCUACAGCAUCAAUGUCAGCUAAAGCAUCCCAAUUAGGAGUAGGAAUCCCACCGCCUGGACUCAAACCUUGUGAACCAGUGUCUGAAAGAAUUCUGGCCAAGUAAUAAUAAACAUAACGCAGAACAGUCCUAUCCUCACACUGCUGAUCAAGCUGCCAGCCAUAAGAAGAUAGAUAAGGGAAAAACAGUCAAUUAACAUUGACUUUGGCAAAAUAAAUACACAGCAAAAUCCAACACAUCCAGUUGAACAUAUUUUCUAACAGUCAAUUUUUUAUUCCCACAGACAACAGCAUAUUAAUGUAAUCUAUGUGAAGAAGCAAUUUUUAAUUGUCAUAUCCAAUUUAUCAAGAAAAUGCAUAUCAAGUUUAUCACUUCACUGACAAGCACAAUAUCUACCUCCUAAAGUAAAUCUACAACGGGUGAAGAUUUUUCUUGGACCAUACAACCUUUUCUACUAAGCAUCUGCAAUGUAUUGAAGGCAUAACAAAAUAAAACCAAAAUUUUCUAAAGGCUCAAAAAGCAGAAUUUUUAUAGAGUGCCCAGAAAAGUAAUAUAAAAGAACUGAAUUCUCGAGUUACAGCCAAAAAGCUAGACGAUUUCAAGGCAAAAGAAAGGCCUCUCUAAAACUAUCUAAAGCAUUCCUCGACUCCUAUACUUGAGCACUACUACUUGAAAGGCCAUCCAACACAAACUUUAACUUCCUCACAAGCAGCAAAAAAUCCAUAUUGCUUAGUACUGUGUCUGAAGAAUUGCUUAGUACUGUUUCUAAAUUUGUUACCAUUCACAGAACAUCAGGUCUACAUUCCUAAUAUCCAUGAAUAGCAAAAGUCUAGCUCUCCUGGUUCACACUGGUACUGCAAAUAAUGAGAUGCCCACAAGUACAAUUUUAGUGGCUAAUCUCACAAGAAAGAGAUCCCAAAAAAAGGGCUGCAAGAAUUGAAAUUGACAGGACCAUCAUCGCACAGCUUAUAUAUUUUAUGCCCUCUGCACUACCCAGCUCUAAACUCAAAAAAAAAAAACAAAAGAAUAAAUUGUAAAUGACUGCUCCAGAAAAAGUCCCCAAAUUGACAUGCACAAGCAAAAUAAAUCACAAGAAUAGUCAGACGCAAAUGAAAAGCCAAGCUUAGACGAGUGCUACACCACACGCACUUCCCCUUGUUGUCAUUACAUUUUCUUAUGCUCAUUCCACCCAUAUAGUCCACGAAAAUCUGCAACAUUACUCGUGAAUCAUAUAAAUGGACAUUCUCAAUUUCCUUCCUGCGCCAUGUUCCUUGCAUCAGCUACCUAAACUUUUCCUCGAGCAAAGCAAUUAAAGGUCGAAAGAGAAAAACAAAAUGAAACAAAAGAUCCUCCUACGCUUUUUCCUCAUCAGAUUCCUUCUCAUUAGCGUAAAGGCUCCACAUCGGUUAAGGAUGCCUCAUAUAACAAUAGAAUGCUACAGUAGUUAAAGGCACUAAGCUCUUCUAAAAUGUUUUAAGUUCUCAAGGCUCUGAAAAAGAAGGAUUAAACUAUUGCACUACUCUACAGGUAAUUGUCCUUAAACUAAUAUAGUAUCCCAUCAAAGUCUCUUCCUCUAAAUCACAGUAAGUCCAGUUUGUGAUGCCAAUGCCACCAACAUGAACUUCUUGCCCAAUAAAGAUCUGAUUACCAACUAGUCACCAAUCAAUUCCCAUCUUUGGAUAGUCAUUCUACAUAAAUUGAAUUGAAUGUCCCUAAAGCUUAUUAGAUUUAUGAAGGUCAUUGAUUUAUCACAAAUAUAGGAUACCAGUAAUCUAUCUCAUGCUCCAACACUUUGCAUCUCUGUACUAAUUGCUAAGAGCAAAGUGUGAUUAUGACAAAUGAAACUCCUAUUGGCACUUUAAAAUCUAGAAAACUCAAAUUUAGUGCAUCCCUGCUGCUAUUUAACUAUUUCAAGUUCAAAAUGUGCACAGUACAACUGCAGUAAGCCAUAUGCCGACAUCAAAAAUCACACUGAUCUCUCACGAUAUUCUCAACUAACUUCCUACAGAUACAAAUAUGUUUAAACUAGCAAUCAAAUGACCUAUUGUUGUAGUUAGUACUAUUUUGUAAAUGUCUAAAAUGCCACAGAAUAUCAGUUCUGGCACAUACAGCAGUUUGCUUGCAAAAUGAUUCAGAAAUGUCCUUAACGCUAUCACACAUGUUCAGUAUAUCAUGCUUAAUGCUCCAAAACAAGCUGCACAAGGAUCCAAAAGUUGCAGGCACAUUUAAUAAUCUGGCUUCAUACCAUGAGAAGAGAUGGUGCCAAAGAUGGAUCAACAGAGUUGUAGACAGCCAGUUUGGGAAACACAUGAUGGACCAAUUGCCUCUGGGAACUUUUCUACAAACAAUUCAAAAAAAAAAACAGAACUUUUUCAUUAAACUUAACCCGGAAAAAUAUACACGAGUUUUCCAUGUCAAAAUAGAUUAAACACCAGCAUACUUGAUCAGAGGCCGCUGCUAAUUCAUGAAUGCUCCUCGCCAAUUGUGCAUAAGAAACAGGCUGAAACAAAAGAAUAAAACAGGCAUUACUAACAACAUAACACAAGCUUAAUCACAGCAUUGAUUCUCUACUCAUCUUGUUCAAUGAAUCUAAAAAAUUGAAAUAAAUCCCAACAAACUCACAGAAUUUCACCUAACUAUGCUUAGUGAAUAACCAAGCAAGCAAUUGUAAGCUAAAUUAGUACACUUAUCUAAAAUUCCAACAUAAACAACUAAAAUUCAGAACGAUAGAAUAUGCAACUCACUUAUCAAUGCCCAAAGUAGUAAAGCAGAAGUUUUACUCCUUUUUUUUCACCUCCAAAUAAAAGUUCACUUCCAACAAAAUUACAAGAGAAAUCUGAAAAAAAAAAACCACAACUUUUGCGGAAUGAGCAUUUCUAUACCCUUUUCUUUUGCUUUUGCGGCAUAAUGUUAGCUCUGACAGGGUUAAGAGCAGCUUUGGCAGCGGAAAUCGUAUCGCUUUGGAUCUGCAUUAACGUUCCUUUCUUCGAUUUCUUAUCCACCACCACCGGAAUCGGCGCCCCAAUAUUUGCUGUCGUAGUUUGGGGCGGCGGUGCUGUCGAGGAAGCAGUAGUUGAAGCCGCCGACGACGGCACUGUCGACGACGGUUGGUCCGACGUGAUCAGAUCCAUCAGCGUCGUCCCCGAAGAAUCCUGCACACGUUUUUUUUAACGAUUCUGAAAUUAGAAACUAAUUUGACGAACAAAUCAUAGUAUAUAUCAUGAAAUCAGUGAAAUUUGAAGUGUAUUUUCAGUUUUCAGAGGUUUAUUUCCAUUUCUUGUCGAGGCAAAUGAAGAGGCGAAAGGAUCUGAGAAUGUUUACCGCCAUGAUUUGGGGUUUAUCAGAAGAGGAGCAGAGAUCAGAAGGAGCGAAAGAUCAGAAUUCGACCUGGUUCAACUGGUCGUUAGUAAAUUAGUUUCUUCUCUUGGCCCCAAAAAAAAAAAAAUGUAUUAGCUUAAUUACAUUUUGGUCCUUCAAAAAUGGUCUGAACUCUGAGUUUGGUCCCUUCAAAUGGAAAAAGUUUCGAUUUCACACUUUAAAGUAGCAAAACAUUUCAAUUUCACACGUCAAAUGAUAAACGUACAGCUUGUACUUUAAGGGUUCGUUUGGGAGUGAAGAUUUGGAUAGAAAAGAAAGGGAAAGAAGAGAAAGUUUACUUUUGCUUCAUUUGUUAGUUUUAAGUAGGAAAGAAAAGAAAUGGAAAGAUGAAUAGUUAAGAAAAUGCUUCCUCCCAAAUCGGAAAGAAAUGGGAAGAAAGUUUGGAGAAAGCUUGAUAUUUUUUUUAAAAUGCCUAUUUUGUCCUUAAAAAGAUUUUGAACAAAUAUUUAAUGAUUUCUAUGUCCAAAAUCAUUUCACUAAUUCUCAAAACUCCCAAACAACAUAACAAUCUCUUCCCUUCUUUCAUAACUUAAGCUUUCCCUUCUUUUCUUUUCUAUCCUAAACUCCCAAACUAAGCCUAGGUGUAUCUUGUAACUCAACAAACCAAAAUACAUAUUCUAAGUAGAAAUUGCAAGUAGUAAGACUAGUUCCAUACUCUUGUAGUUACUAGCAGAUCCUGUGAUUGAUCCUCGGGUGCUACCUCGUUGUGUAUCCUUGGAGUAAGACACUACAUACUUCUGGAGAAUUAGUAUAAUCGAAAGAUUGUGAUACUUUUAGAUAGAAAAAAAAAAACACUAUUAGGGGAUUAUGGGAUACCCCUAGGUGAAAAGAGUGUAGGAAGGAGUGUUAUGCUAUGCCUUCAACAGUGGUUGGAUAAAGAGCGAGAAUAUUUCUAAUAAAUUUUUUUUUUUUUUUUUGAGAAGAGGUGUCCUGAAUGUGCAAAAGAUAUAAGGAUGGAAUUUUGAAUUUUUGUAGGAAUUUUGUGAAGACUAAGACUGUUAAAUUUUUGUUUAGCUCUCAUUGCUCUAAUAUCCCUUUUGAGGAGAGCAAUUCAAUUUUGUAGGGUCAUUGGUUUGGCAGGGAAUUUGUCAAUGGGAUACUCCUAGGUUAAAAAAAAAAUUCUCAUAGGGUAUGAGUUUGAUCGAAAAGAUGAAAUACCCUACGUGAAAAAAAAAAUAGAAAUCACGAGUAAAUAGUAAGUAUUUUUGUAAUAGAUCUAUAGCUAAGACCCCUGUAACGUCUUGGCUAAGACACUACGGUGCACAUAUAAAAAUUUUUGCAUUUUUUUUUUCAAUCAUUAAAUCAUAUCAUCUCUCACUUGCCUAUGGGUAGCCAAUGUCUUGUCUUUUUUCCUUUUUCUUCCAAUGUCUCACUUUCGUCACACACCUAUUGUUGCAUUGCCAUUAAAUAGGUGAAUAUGAUUCAUGUUUUUUUUAAAUAAGUAGAAUAUCAAUCUUGCUUUAUUUCCAAUGUUCCUGUGCUACUUUGGUAUAUAAAGUUUGAUCAUCUACUCCUUUUUUCUAAGAAUUAUGCUAUUCUAUUUGUGGGGGCAAAAGGUUAUUGAUACGACCCUUUGUUCUUCUAUGGAUUUUAUUCAUCAAACAAAUUCAAAAUCUACAUUUCCAUGACCGCAUCAAUGGCGAUGUCGACCGGAAAACUUUUAUAUCUAAUUUGAUUGAUGCCUUUUUAUUAACGUCACUUGAGAAAGGAUCAUGAAUGCUAAAUAUUUGUAAUAGUUUGGUUUGAAUAUAUGCGUAAUUUUGUUGCAAUAUUUUUGCAUACAUAGGUAGAGAUUUAAUUGGAAAGUUAGUCUAGAGGGCUACUUUGUCACUACAUCUAUAGACUAUUGCCCCCCCCCCUUUUUCUUGCUAAUUAGACAUCCAUUUUUUGAGUUACUUUCCUUUUGUAACAAAUAAAUGAUACAAAAAAACAAGGGAAAAUGUAUGGAAGAGAGAGAAAAGCUAAAAACUACAUGUACUUAUUCUUUUAUCUCUCAUCGUGAAUCUAUUAUUAUUACCGAAGGAAAAAAUUAUUCAAUACGUGAGAUACAUGAAUCAUUGCUAUAAUCUUGAUAUUUUCAAGUUAUUAGUUAUUACUCAAUUUGAUUCACUUCUCUCUAUACAUUUAUGCUUUCACUCAUCACAAUGUAUUUCUUAGUUUCAAUUUCUUCAUAAGCAUGACAAAAUAUAAAAUUUCCCUACCAAGAAUUGGGUGAAAGCUAGUUUAUGAAGAAAAUAAUUUUGUGCCAUUUUUAUAUAAUAAGUGGAUUAAAUUUAUGAUUACUAUUACUUUUGUACUCUAAUAGUGAUGACAUUUACUUUUUUACAUUUGUUGUAACAAAUUCUUGUAAUAAGAUGAUUUUUCAUUUUAGGCAUUUUAACAAAAAAUUGGAGCAUAUGAUAAACAAAAACUUUGUUUGCUUGAAAUCAUUCUUUUUUGCAUUGAGGUGUUUUACUCUCUGUUUGGAUGAGAGUUUUUUUAGAGAUGUUUUUGAAAAGGGAUAAGUUUAGAAAUAUCCCAUGAGGUUUUGACAAAUUUACUUGCCUCCCUUCAACUUUUGAAAAUCUCAUGCACCUUUCCUAACUGAGAAUUGGGACCUAUUACUGAGAUAAUGUCUGGCAAAAUGACUAUUAUAUCCACAAUCUUGAUAAUAUUAAUUUAACAAUUCCUUAAAAACCACUAUUGGAACGUAUUUGAAGAUUAAACAGAAAAUUGGCCAAUUGUUUUCAGUAGAUUGAUGGAAUUUCUCCCCCAAACGACACACUUUUCUAAUAAUUACGUACCAUUAAAAAUGUAUCCUAUAUCAUUUAAUUUUUUUUUAGGUCUUUUGCUUUUGGUCUUUGUAAUUAGUUGAAUUACUUUGCAAAGUUAGCCAUUGAUUAGUUUGAUCAGUUUAACUUCAUUAAUUCAUCUGCUACAUACUUAUUUAAAUUUAUGCCCAGACUUUUGGUUUUUGUCUGCCAGGAUUUAAUUCAUUUAAUAAUUUAUCAAAAUAAACAGUUGCAAUGAUUAGAAAAGGCUUUUUUUUCCCACUAAAUUUCAUUCUCUCUCCAAAAAUUUUUUUCUAUUCAAAAUUUUUAUUUGGGCUGACAUGUUACAUAAUAGUUUUAAAUAAGGGAGCUAAGCAAGAUUUUCAGAAGUUGAUAAUAAGCAAGUACAAUUGUUAGAAGACUCAAUAGAGGUUUCUGAAAUUAUCCCUUUUAUAAAACUUAAAUGAUAGAUGUGUGUAUAACUAAAACACUUAUAUAGGGUGUUUUAGAAGUGAUUAAUUAAUGUGUUUGGUAAAAAUGAACGUUUUUCAAAGUGAUAGUGAAAUUACUUUCCCAUAUCUCAACCCUCUCCUUGCUCAUUUUCCUACCCUUUCUCUUCAUCAUUCCUCUCCAUCCUUCUCCCAUCCUUGGCCUACCACCAUUACUUCUCCCAUUUCCCUUCAUUCACUUGUCAUUUCCCUCUUUCCCAAUUUCUCUUCCGUUCCCAUUUCUUUUCUUUCUCCUCAUUUAUUCCUUCCCUCUUACAUUUCAACCAUUACACUUUUUUCCCUCUCCCGAUCUAGUCAUGCAAGAGUGCGGGGAAGGAAGAAAAAUAAGGAGUGAUGAAGGAUGUGGGAGAAGAAAGAAGAUGGAGGGUGGUACAGAAAAAUAUUAAGAAAAAGGUAGAAAUGAAAAGCGGCAUAGGAAAAAGGAAGAAAAGAGGAAGGGGAAAAGAAAAUAGGCUGAGUUGCCAGGAUUUAGAUAAUAAGGGAUAGAGGGAGAUUGGUGAUUGGUAUGAGAAAGAAGUGUGAUGUAUUUUUUGAAUUAUUGGUUUGUGUGUUUUAAAUUAUUAUUUUGAUGUUCUUGAGAUAUUUUUAGUAUGUUUUUCACAGGUGUCACUCUAAAUGUAUGUAUAACACCAUUGUCAAAAAGCAAUAAUCCAGCAACACAUAGUUACUCAUUUCAAAUACAUUUUAAAUACAUCUCAAAUACACCUAUCAAAAAAUGCCAAAAAAUAACAAAAAAAAAAAAAAGAAAUCACCGUCCCUUUCUCCCUCUACCACUAUCCUCUCACUCAUUUCCUUAGCUUCCCCUUCUUCUUCUUGCUCCUUAUUAUUUCCUACCGUUGCCCUUUCCCUCUCACUUCUUCUCUUUCCUCUCGUCCUUUCUCUCCCACUUUUUCCCUUCAUUUCUCGCAACCAUGUCUAAUUGUAAGGAAAAAGGGGAGGGGGUGGAAGGAAAAUGAUAAGAGAGGAGAGAAGAAGAGGGGAAAAGGAACAUGGAGGAGAUAAGCGAAAGAAAAGAGAAGAGGAGAAAGAUGAAAAACGAGAGUAGAGUAGAGGGUAAGAAGGAGUGCUAUUGGAAGCAAACGGGGGACGAGGGUGGUAGAGAUGAGAGGAGUGAGGUGGAAGGUGAUUGAAAUCAAGAUUUUUAAAUCGAGAUCUUACUUUGGAUCGUUUUAGAAGUUACAAGAUCGAAUCAUAGAUAGGUUAGAAUCGUAAGAUUCAAUUGAAAAAAAAAAAACAAAAAUCAACAUUUUAUUAAUUUAUAAUCUUAUUGUUCAUAAAAACAUAUGCAAAUAGAUAUAGAAAAAUGCAAUUGUAACUAAAAAAAGAAAAGUUCUUCAACUUAAAUGUAUUAUUUAUAGUAUUAUAUGCGUAUAGAUAAAAGUUUGAGUUGCUUUGGAAUUUAUUUAUUUUUUGGCUAAAAAUUUAGAAACUAUAUUUUAUUGGUGUAAAUUAAUGAAAAUAAGAUUUUGAACUACAAAUUAUUAAGAAAUUUCCUAGUUCAUAUUAAAAAAACCAUAGUUGAGGUAGGGGAAAAAUUUUCAAAAUAUCCCGAAUAAGUUAUAAAUAUUAAAUACACUAUCAAAUACAUUUAUAUUAAAAAUUGCUCCACCAUUGAUUUUUUCCACAAUACCCUCAAAAACACCUAACACAAAACGAAGUUAUUUUUUCAAAACAAUCAAAUCCAAGCAGAGCCUCAAAUUUCCAUCAACAUUCACAUCUCUCCAUGAUCAAUCACAUACCAAUCCAACAACCAAAAAUCUCUCAUCAACAUGGUAUGGGUCCUACAUUAUUCACUAUCAUUUCACAUCCAAUUAAUACUAGCAUUUCACCGGCAUGCAAUGCAUAAAAUUUUCCAAAGUCUGAAGUAAUUAGUCCACUCUUAGUCUUUAGUCUCACUUCACAAACAUUAAUGAAGUUCUCUAUUCUACAGCAAAGAAAAAAAAAAAGCCAAAAACCAAAAUUUCUAGUCAGCCAAGGCCCCACUUGAGAACAGCCACCACACUAAUGAGCAGCCAGUGCUGAAUCUUUCCAUCAAACACCAUCAAACUUACUAAGUCACAUGAUCAUCAUAGGCAUCAUCAUCAUCGGACGGUCCAAUUUCACCCAAUGUGGGUCCGAGGAAAAUGUGAUUACAAUAAUCAGUAGGGGCGACUACACCAGAGGACUUCCAGAGAAAGAGUAAAAAAGGAAAAAACAAAACCAAAGACGAAGACCCAGUGGAAGCAGAGAGUUUCUUUUUUCUGUCAAAAACCCCCCAAUUUCAUUUACUACUAUUUCUCUGCGUGUUUUUGUGCGUGAGAAAGAAAGAAAUACUGCCCACACGGCGUCGUUUAGGGGGGACCGAAGGUGAGCUAGCUGGCUAGACGGAGACGACGAAAGCGAAGAAGAGGAAGAUAGAGGAGGAGGCGGUCGAGGAUUGUGUGUUUGGUGCGUGAUUGGAGGGGUAAAUUUGUAACUUGGCUUAAUCGAUCCCUCCACCCAUCGGAACAGCAAAGUCAAGCCCUCUCGAUCGAGGUAAUUUUCAGGCUUUUUGGGGUCGAUUUUGAUGCUGGAUCACUUGAAUUUCUCGGCUUUACUGGCUUUUGGUGAUUUAUUUUCUCUCAUUUCGGCUCUGAUUUUGCAAUUUUUGUUUUGGAUUCAUUUCUAAAUGGGGUUUUGGAGUUUUCUUUUUCUGUAGGGUUUUGAGCUGGAGCAAGGUUUAAUUUUUGAUUACGUUGGGAACGUUGGGAAUAAAUAGCGGAGGUUGUUUAAUUAAGGACUUUUUAGCGGUUUGGAGAUGGAAAUCUUUUAUGGUCAAUUCAGUUGACCUGAUAGGAAAAUAGGUGAGAAAGAGAGGGAAAUUAGGAUUUUGAGUUUUGGUUGAUUGUGUGUUUUUUUUUUGAAUUUUAAUUGAUGUUCAAAAAUAUAAUUUUGGCAAUAAUUUAAUGUAACUGGGAUUUUUCCUUUUUGGCUUUUUCAGGGUCUAAUAGAAGAUGGAUUCUUUAGUAUUUUGGUGACCAAUAAAUUUUUUUUAUGGAAAUGUAUUCUAGUCUAUUUGCGAGCUAAUCAAGUUUUCAUAAGAUUUUAAUAAAGCUAUCUAAUUUUCUUUUUAUUUUUCUGAUUUAGAUGCUCGUUGACCUCAAAUUUUUCCAUCAUGUAACACUUUUCCCUUUGGCUGUAGGGAUUUUGCAGAGUGGAAAUAUUGAAGCUGAAAUCUCCUCAUGCAGAAGAAGUAGAGGUUUUAAAGUUUGCUACUUGUAGAUUUUAUUGUACUGAGAUUUGACGGUGAGAAAAUGUUGGAGGCUCCGAAAUUUACUGGAAUCAUAGGCCUAAACAAUAACCAUGAUGAUUAUGGCCUAUCACAAAAUUUUUACCAUAAGCUCAAUGAGGGCUCGAACAUGUCAAUCGACAGCUAUGGGAGCCUGCAAAUGAGCAAUGGUGGAGGAUCUGUUGCUAUGUCUAUGGAUAACAGCAGUGUGGGAUCAAAUGAUUCACACACUCGCAUUUUAAACCACCAGGGCCUUAAGCGAGUGAACAACAACUAUUCUGUUGCUGCUAGUGUCAACCGUGGGAGGGUUUCUCACGGGUUAAGUGAUGACGCACUAGCUCAGGCUUUGAUGGAUCCUAGGUUUCCCACCGAGGGGCUUGAGAAUUAUGAUGAAUGGACUAUUGAUUUGAGGAAGCUUAAUAUGGGAGCAGCGUUCGCCCAAGGGGCAUUUGGAAAGCUCUAUAAGGGGACAUAUAAUGGUGAGGAUGUUGCAAUUAAGCUUCUUGAGAGGCCUGAGAAUGACCUAGAGAGGGCACAUUUGAUGGAACAACAGUUCCAGCAGGAGGUAAUGAUGUUGGCAAGAUUGAAACAUCCGAACAUAGUUCGCUUCAUCGGCUCAUGUCGUAAACCCAUGGUAUGGUGUAUCGUCACUGAAUAUGCCAAAGGGGGAUCAGUUCGACAGUUUUUGACCAAGCGGCAGAACAGAUCUGUUCCCUUGAAACUGGCUGUUAAGCAGGCCUUAGAUGUGGCCAGGGGGAUGGAAUAUGUGCAUGGCCUGAACCUUAUUCAUCGAGAUCUCAAAUCUGAUAAUCUUCUCAUUUCUGCUGAUAAAUCUAUCAAGAUAGCAGAUUUUGGUGUUGCUCGUAUAGAGGUGCAGACUGAAGGAAUGACUCCAGAAACAGGGACAUACCGCUGGAUGGCUCCGUAAGUCUCUCGGCUCUUUAUGGACUUAAAUUUUGUUUUUCUUUUUAGAUGAUUGCAUUCUUUGACUGGAUGUUUACCACCGUGUGAGCAAUCCUUAGAAGUUUCAGGAAUUUUGGUCUGAAGAUGGUCUAUUAUUAUGGUUAUUGCUAUAGAAGAUGUAAAGGGUAUUUACGAAAUUAUGCUUUACAUUAAUGACAAGCAGAGACCAGGGAAAUCCGAGGAUGCUUAUUAUUAGUAUAUUUGGAAAACAGAAGUGAAUGCAUUAGGGCGAUGAGGGGAAAUGUUCCUGCUACUCUGCAGUGCAUGAAAGAAGUUGUUGUCUGUUACCAGUAGUGCUUCUCAGGAAAGGAGAAAUUGGGGUAGGGGCCAAAAAGACUCUAUGAGCAGAGCUUGCUCCUUUAUGAAAUCUUCAUUUUGAGCUUCAAGGUUUUCUUGUAUUAGCAGUGCCAGAUGCUUGAAAAUGCUGCUUUUUUUUCUUUGGUUUUUUUUUUGGGGGGGGGGGGUUAUUUCGGGAUAAAAAUUUUGUAUUCUUUCUAGUCAUUUAGGACUUUUGAACUAAAAGAUGAUUUAGCAUUUUUGAAAGCUUCCUAAGAUUUGCCGAUGGCAUAGUUGCUUUUGGAUUUGGAGAUAUCCUAUAGCAUUCUUGGAAGCUUCCCAAGAUUUGCUCAUGGCAUAGUCACUUUUGGAUUUGGAGAUAUCCUAAACAUGCUAAUGUGAUGUGGUGGUGGUUGUCAUCCGUGUGAUGUUCGGAAGUUGCAGGCUGAGGUUUUCCUUAAGAGUUGACUUUCUAGUUUGUAUAUUUGAAAUUGAAGCUUGAAUUCCCUUUCACUUGGUACUUUGGUUGAUUUACAUCUCUGGGUAUUUGUUUCAUGUGGUAGUUAAUGGUCAUUGCAACACCUAAGUUUCCAAGUGGUGGAGUUGGAUGUUGGGUUAGUAGCAGCUCCCGAAGUAAAUGAUGAAAACCAGCCUUAGAGAACUUCCUAAACAUUUUUCAUGCUUGAAACAUCUAAUUGUUGUCGUCAUUGAGAUAUAGUAUUUAAUCUUUGGGGCCCCUUUUUUAUGGUACAUUGACUUGUUCCAGGUAAGAGCUGUAGAGCUUUUUCCAACCAGGAUUCGUCCUAUAUUGCUUAAUUUGUUGUGACUUAUCAAUUUGAGGGACGUUAAGUUUCUUGCAUGUCUUCUAUAUUCUUAGUAUGCUCUCCAUCCCAUGCUAUCCCAGAACAGUUUUUGUGGUCCAACUGGCUGCUUUCUAAACCAUCAAAUGUGUUCAUGUGCACUUAAAACACUAAAUCAUGACCUCAGUCAGUCAUUAUAGACAAUUUAUAGUAUGGACUAGAUUUACUUUGCAAAGCCCAAUGGUCAGAACCAGUUAUUGAGAUACUGAAUGAAAUUAUGGUAUUUCAGUUUCUCAGUCACUUCUCUUUUAUGCUUGUACAUCAUGAUAUGUUCCAGCUUUGUAGGUUCUCUCUUUAUAUGUUCUUGAGACUUGGCUUCAGUACAUUUCUGUGUAUGUUUAUCAGUUGAACCAUUCGGGAUUAAAGAAUCGUGAGGGUGACAAUCGUGUGUGAUCUUGACCAAUUCUUUGACUAAAUUGACGUUUGAGGAAAAAAGUAGUAUGCUUUAGGUUGUGGACUGGUCUCUAUAUUGCAAAAUUUUGUUGAAAUCUUUAUUCCAACAUUUCUUCAAUGGACUUGAAUUUUAAUUGUUCUUUUAUUGAUAGUUGAUGCAUUAACUAAUAUCUGUAACACUAAUGCAUGCACAGCAUCUGUGUGGUCUAUGCAAUGACUGUAACUCACCGUGCCCUGCUUUCCCUAGGUUGCAGACUGAGGGCAUUUCUGCUUCCACAUUGUUAUCACAUUUUAUAGCCAAUAUAUAGAAACUUCCCAUUAGGUUUAUGCAUUGACUAAUGCUUGCAACACUAAUGCAUGUACAGCAUCUGUUUGGUAUAUGCAAUAUGACUGUAACUCACUCUGCCCUGCUUUCCAUAAAUUGGAGACUGAGGGCAUUUUGCUUUCACACUGUUAUCAGAUGUUUAAGUUAUUAUUGUCUUGCGCUAAUUGAAGGUGAUAUUCUUAGUUUCCUCUUACUCUGGGCUGCUUGAGUGUGUUGUACUCUGGAUGUGCAGGGAGAUGAUCCAGCAUAGGCCGUAUACCCAGAAAGUUGAUGUUUAUAGCUUUGGGAUUGUUCUCUGGGAACUGAUCACAGGAAUGCUUCCAUUCCAGAACAUGACUGCUGUACAAGCAGCUUUUGCUGUUGUCAACAAGGGCGUCCGCCCAAACAUUCCCAAUGACUGCCUUCCUGUACUCAGUGAGAUAAUGACACGUUGCUGGGAUGCUAAUCCUGAUGUGAGGCCUCCUUUCAGUGAAGUUGUUCGGAUGCUUGAGGCUGCUGAGACUGAAAUCAUGACAACUGUCAGAAAGGCCCGUUUCAGGUGCUGCAUGAGUCAACCUAUGACCAUGGAUUAAUGCAGAGAGGAAAGGUGUAGAAGCGGUAAGAACAGAGUAAAGCAUUCAAAGGAAAAAAGAAAAAGAAAAAAAGCUGAUUUUAUAUCAGUUUCUGUAUGUAUCAGGCUUAAUUUCUUUCUUCAGAUAGAAAAAGGGAGGGAGGAAAGUCAUCAUAAGAACUGCUUGUUUUGUGCUUUUUUUUUUUUUUUUGCCCCUUUUACUGAUGGAUUGAAUAUGUUUAAUUAGUGCUAAUAGAGGAGGAUUGAUGUGUAUUUAUACAUAUGCCUUGUGUUGCUUUGUUUAUACAUGCCUUGUUUAGUCAUUUGCCCCAAAAGUAGUGGGCUUGAGUUUUAUUUAAUUACCAAUGCUUCCAACUCCUGAAGCCUCUUAUCUAUCGAAUUUGAGCAAACCUGGACUUACAUACGGUGUGUGCCGCUUUUCGCAUAUAGAUAGAAAGUGACUAUCAUCACAAAUGAUGGAAGUUGAAGCAUCAGUUGAUCACUUCAUUGCAGCUUUAAUUUGAUCCAGGAAACAGAGGAAGCAGGAAACCAACACUUGGUCAGAGAUACUUGCAAAUCUGAUGGUUAAUUGCAUCAACUUGGGCGCAUCUUUUGACAUUUUGGCUGUGUGCUGGAAUGGCUGGUGAAUGGUUAUUUUUCCUUUCAUUACAUUUUGCAGACUGCAGAGAAUCAAAUCCCGACAGUGGACUUUAAGAGGCCUUCCCACGGUUUAACCAGGGAAGGAAGGUUUAGGAGUUCUUCCCAAUCUUUUAACCUGCAAUUGUUUCAGGGAUUUUGGCCUUUUCAAGCUUCUGCUCUUAAUUGUCAACUCAAGUUGCGAGGAGCAUUCAACAUUCCAUGGCAGUUAGCGUGAUUUAUUUGACUCUUAAUUGCGAAUAAAAUACCAUAAAAUGAGUCCUUCCUUUUUGUUGACCAAGAAUGUUGUUGACAAUGGAGAGCAUUAUUGAGACCAGGGGGUAACAAUUCGUCCGAGUCUUGCCAUUUUACUUUUAAAAGGUAAAUCCUAUUGACUGCCCUUUAAAAGUUUUUUGGUAUAUUUAAAUAAAUUUUGGGUACUUCGUGCGGUCACGUGGUAGGUUAAAAUACAUCUAACGAGUUAAAAUCAUAAAGUGAAUCUACAAUAAAAUUUUUUUUUUCGAAAAUCUACAAUCCUAGGAAUUGUAUACAAUCCUAGGAAAGUACUAUAUAAAAUUAAAAAAAAAAAUUUUUUUUACACUUUGGUGUGUAAAUAAUGGCAAAGAGCCUCGAGACACAGACAAGAAGGAUCCAUUAUACAUAAUUGUUCCCCCAAAAAAAGGUUUUGAUUGAAGUGAUUUCUACGCAUUCUCUUUCCCUUUCUCUCAUCAACCAAGAGAGGCAGGAAUGGUUGCGUUUGCAACCGUUCUUGAAAGUUCGUGGCUAAGAUUUGGGCCAAAAAAAAAAAAAAAGAGAUCCAGAUUUUAUCUUGUACGUUAUUUUUCACAUUAUGUGUGGAACUCAUAAAAUUUUGUUUUAUAGUUAUACGUUGUUGAAAGUGAAUUAUGCCAUGUGCAGAUAAAGUUGCGCCAUUGCACGAAACCACUUCGAACGGUUUUCCUGACAACUAUUCGGCCCCUUGUCCCUCCCAUCACACUGGCAUUAGGCUUGGGUUUUAACUUAAUUGAUUCCCUUACUGCUUUCUCUGUGUUUACUUUUGAAGCUAAAACAGUAGUAAUUGAAACCAAUCAAUAUUCCAGUUUUGAACAAAACAAGCAAAGGAUAAAGGUCGGUCCAUGUUUUUACAUCCAUACGCUUCUGUAUUCUAUGCUCUCAGACUUGAUAUCUCAUUUAGUCGUCUCCAUUCCAAUUUUAGAAUGACGCAAGGAGCGUUGUUUGGCAUCACUUCAUAGUGAAGGCAAAAAAGCGUAUAUGAAACUGGAAAUGUGCUUCAAAAUUAGUCAAAACGCACUUUUCAAUUUUCAUCCCCAGGUGUGGAUCAAUUUAAUCUCUUAUGUUUUUAAUCAAGUGAAUAGUUUAUAUUUAAAAUUUUAGUGUAUAUCUUACAUUCUCGAGAUUUACGAAAUACCUAUGCUAUAUAUAAAGGGACAGGGAGGGGUUGGUGUAAAACUUUUUAUGUUCUUCUUUAAACUACCCUUGAUAAUUAUAGUAUUUACUUUUAACUUUCAAUAAUCCUUCUUCCAGCUAAUAUGUAUUUCUUAUUAUUUUAUUUUUCAACUUAUUUAGUAAACCUUAAUUUUUAUUAGUAACCAUCAAUUAUGGUUAUGAAUUACUACUAAAUAAUUAUUAUAUAUUUUAUUUUAUUGAAUUUUCUACAUAUUUAGUAUUGCAACAUAAAACUAAUUCUCUUGAAAAUGAUUUCAAAUAUAGUCAACAAUUUUGGCACAAGUUUCUUUUAUUUGUUGCACACACAUUCGUGUGUACCUUGGACAUUAAUAUAUCUAAUGCCCUCAACUAGAUAUUUAUUUUCCUUAGAUGAAUUUUUUUUUCCUUCAGUGAAUUAUACGUGUAUAAGAAUUAUUUCUCAAUUACACCUAAAAUGAGUAUUUACUGGAACAUAUGGUAAAUUUGCUUUAAAAGUUUUUUACUUAAUUUUUUUUUCUAAUAAGAGAGGGAUGAGAUUCAAAAAACAAGGGAUCAAAGCGAUUUAAAUUUAGGACGUCUAAUAAACUGAUUAAGUAAUUACCCUAGAAUAGCACCAAAAAAGUUUCUUUCAUAGGGUUUCGUUUGAUAAAACUGAAUCUGAAUUCUGAAUACUGAAAUAAUUAAUUUGCUGAAUUUUAAGUACUGAAAUGAAAUAUAUGAAUGUCUAAAUUUUAAUACUAAAUUUAUUUAUACUGCUUGAUAAAUAUUUAUAACUGAAUGCUUAAUAAGUUUAAUUUGACAAUUUUACCCUUAUAUCUUUUCAUUCAAAAAAGAAAUAGAACCUACGAUUUGAUUAGCUUAAAAUUGUUAGGUAUAAAAAUGACAAUAUUUAUUUUUAAAUCAAAUUAAUAUAACAGAUGAAAUAUAUUAUAUGAGAAGUAUGGAGAAAAUGUGAAAGUCAUUAAAAAUGAAUAAAAGAGAAACAGAAAACCGUUAGAUAGAAAAUAUCAAGUUAUUUAAUUAGAUAAGAAUUUUGAACAUAAUUAACAAACAAGGGUAGAUUUGGUAGAUAAGAUAAGGUAGUUGAAGUAAUUCUAUUAAUUCUUAUCAGAAUUAAGCAUUCAGUUAGAAUUUUUAUGCUGAAAAAAAUAUACACAAGUUCAGCACUGCUUAACAAAUUCAGCAAAUGGAUUUUCAUUUAUCAAACACUCGAAACAUUUGAAUGUCUGAAAAUGUUCAAUUUCAGCACUUUUUUAUGUUAUCGAACAGAUAGCACCAAAAUAUUAGUGGUAAAAAUCUCUCUAUUUCCAAAAUCAUGCAAUUUAGAUAUAAAGUUGGAAGAUAUCACGAAGUAGCCGGACAUAAAACACUUUCAAUGUUCAAAUUUACAAAUACUAUUGUUUUAGCAUGUACAUUUGUUGUCUCAAUCAGUAACGAUAGGCUCCGUUUGGAUUUCUCAAUUUUUUGAAAAAUAAGUUCUUCAUAUAUUAUGUUACAGUAAUAUACAAACAAAAUAACUCCAAAAACUUCACAUUCAUAUAAUAUAUACAAAAGUCUUACGAAAGGUUUUGACAAAAAAAAAAAAAAAAUAUAUAUAAUAUAUAAAAAACAACUACAAAUAUACGGAAAAAAUAUACCACCGUCAAAACACACCACUACCCGCCCACCCUUCCCCCUCUCUGCUCCCUCCUCCUUCUUUCUCAUCCUCUCUCUUCUACUUUCCUUUCUCCUUGCUUUCUUCCUCCUUCAUUCUCCUCCCUCUUCCUCCCCUCUCCUCCUUUUUCUUCUCCACGCCUCUUCCGCUACCCCUCUCCCCUUCUCCCCCUCUCUGGUCACUGGUUGCGAUUAGAGAGGGGAGAGGGUGGGAAGGAGGGAGGAGGAAGGAGAAGUAGAGUAAUGGUGGAUGGUUAUAAGAUUUUAUAAAAUUUUAAAAAUAUUUCAUUAAAAUUUUAAAUUUUAAAGAUACUUCAAAAUAUAUUUUCAAAAAAAUCCAAAAAAACAUUAUUAAAAACAUUUACAAUAGAAAUUUUCCAUUACAAUAUAUUAUUUUAAAAACACCCCAAAAACUAAUCCAGACGGAGCCAUAGUUUUCUGCAAUCAUUCCUAGGAUAUUCUCGUACUUCACAGGCCCCAAAAUCCUAGUAGGCCCUGCUCAUCCAUACAAUCAGGAACGAAUACCAAAAAAAGGUUGUAUUUUUGAGUACUAGGACUGAAGUACUGUAUAUUUAUGAAUUUGGAUGUUCCCAGUUGAAGUAUUUCUACUAUGACACUCGGAAUCUGCUUGCCAUCCUCAUUCUCAAUCUCCCCAAUACCAAAGACAAAGGGUAGUAUUACUAGCAGUUCUAUUCAUCGGUGUUUUUGUAGAAUCAACUCUUAUGAUUUUGUUGUUGUUAACAAGACUAAUAAGAAGAAGUUAAAGCCCUGCAAGAAUUACUUCUUGUAUUCAAAUUCAUGUGAUGUCAAGAUCCCUGCUGCUCAGGUAAGUAGAAUUCUGAGCUUUUCCUCUGUAAUGGAAAGAACCCUUUUCAGAUUAUGGCAAAUAUAAGCAUUUUGUUUGAUUAAGUCGCGAACCCAAUUAUACAUUUUUAUGCAUUGUUGGAAGAUUGACACUUUGUUUGCAUUGAAAAAAGCAGCUAAUUGAGCACAAAAUCUCGGGGGCCAUUUUCUUUUCUGAUUGUAAUUUCUAGAAACGGAUUUACGUACAAAAAGUUUCAAAUGGUUAACGUUGGUGCAAGAAAUGUAAUGAAAAAUUCUGUUGAAGUUUGAUGACAUUGGCAUGCUUGUCAUAGUUAUAUUGGUUUUCGUGAUUCUUGAACUGUGAAAGAAUAGAGUUUUACUGAUGAGAUCUGAAUUUGGUUGCUGGUAGUAAUUUCUUGAGCUAUAAUGUGCAUGCUGAUAAGAGCAGAAGGCUUUUGCAGUUUUACUCAGAGAGAAGAUCACCGAAAGGAUUCAAAAAAGUAAAUAUGUGUGUAUGUUAGUCUGAUUUUGGCAUUUGGAGAAUAAAGGGGACAAAGGAAAUUGGGUGAUUUCUUGUUUUAGUAAUUUUAAAAUUGGGAGGAGGCUGGGGUUGGGGUUGAGUUGUUUAUCAUUUAUGCCUCCUGUUUCUGCCAAUAAUUACUGCAGCGUAUAGAUUAUAGAACAAUACUUAGCAUUUGUUACUAUUUCUUUUUCACCUUAGAUAUUCUUAGUUUUAAUCUUUCAGAUUGGAGCUGCAGAAUUGGAAGACUCAACUACUAAAUCGGGUUUCAAGAAUUUAGUCUGGCCUUCUCCUGAUGACGAAAUCCCAUUUUGGCGUAGAGAAUUCCCCACAUGGGACGUCAACUCAGAUGAUUCUGUUAAUGCAGAGAAGGAUUCUGAUCUUUUACACAUUGUUCAUGCGACAGCUGAAAUGGCUCCUAUUGCAAAAGUUGGAGGUCUUGGUGAUGUUGUGACUGGUCUUGCUCGUGCUUGCAUAACACGUGGUCAUAAAGUGGAUGUCAUGCUUCCUUUCUAUGAAUGCAUACAGAGGCAACAUAUUAACAACUUGGUGUUGAUUAGUACAUAUGCUUCAUAUUUCAACGGAGACUGGAUCCCUACUAAUGCAUAUAGGGGCGAAGUCUCUGGAAUCUCUGUGAUUUUUAUUGAGCCAUCCAACCAUUUCUUUAAGGGACAGAGCGUUUAUGGAGGUUCAUAUAACGAGCUAGAAGCAUAUUUGUUCUUCAGCCGUGCUUGUCUUGAGUGGAUGCAGGUUAUAUGAUGGAUAAAUAUGGGUUACUACAUGCAAUAAAAUAAUUUAGUUUUUUCAAUAUAUUUAUUCUAUUUCCUUAUUCUGUAGUACUUUCCUCUUUAUCCCUAGAGUCUAUUCUCUCUGUAAAUACUCUUGUACUAAGUAGGCGUAAUAAACUCAUCAAAUAGUAUUUGAGAUUUAUGAUCAUCCUUUCUCGAGGCUCACAAGUUUGUCUGGAACUUUGUUGGAGGAAAUUAUUCUUCUUCUUUGGUCAUCUCACAGCUCUUUCCUCGAGCUUCUGAAUGUAGCUGAAUAAGUUGUUCAAUAACUGCCUUUUUAAUCAUUUUCUAUCAAAUGUCUUUCAUCAGCUAUAGCCACUAGCUUCCAUUAAAAACUGAACCUUCAUAUGCAUUUGAAUGGUUCAUUUCACACACUUGGUGGCAAGGGGAAAUUUCACAAAAGCUUCUCUUGCAGGUAACUGGAACACAGCCUGAUAUCAUUCAUGUCCAUGAAUGGCAGACUGGUGCACUACCCCUACUUUACUGGGAUAUGUACCAGGAUCUCUCACUUAAGGUAUGACUAUGGCCUCUUGCUGGCUUUAGUGUUUACCUGAUUGCAUUUUCUUAUCUUAUGGUUGCUUAAUUAUCAUGGUUUUUUUUUUUUUUUUUUUUUUUUUUUUGUAGAAACCGCGAAUAGUAUUGACAAUUCACAACAUGGAGCAUUACGGAGAAUGCAGGUUCUCUACUUAUGUUUUUGUUUGUUGUUCUGGUAAUUUGCAAAUGUGACUUUGGAAUUUGAUCUUGUAUGGUUUGGGUUAUACAAUUCUUGCUUCUCCAAGUACAAAUGCUACCCCAGUGUGAUUGAACCUUAGUUAAUUACAUUCCAUCAGUCACUUUUCAUGAUUCUCAGAAAUUCCCUUCGUAUACUCAAAUAAAUUCAGAGAUAUGUUCAUCAACUUUUUCAUAAUCUCCUUUGAGUUGGGCAAUUUGAAAGUAUUUUAUGUCAUGGAUCUUGAAGAUUUCCCUGCUCAAUAGCAUACUAUUGUUUAUUGAUUGCCAACCCCCAAUUGAAACACAACACACAAAGAAAAUUGAAAAAGCGGAAACAUAUAGUAGCAAAUUUUACAACUCUUCAUCUUUGUACUUUCUUCUUGUUUGGCAGCCAAGAGCAACUCAGUAAGUGUGGCCUUGAUGGAUCUGUAUAUGCAACUGAAGACAAGGUGUGCAAUGUGCCAUUGAAAAUGCUUUAUGCACAGAACAGUUGAUUAUGUUUUUGUUUAUAGUUUCCUUAGCAUGUAGUUCCAUUGUUCGCAUUUCAUUCUAUAAUGUUCUUUUCACUGGAAAUUCUAUUAUUAAUGCCUUUUUGGAUAAUUUACCAGUACCUUCUUUUUCCAAAGAUAUAGCUGAAGCUGCAGGUUUUACUACCAUAUGUAGGGCAUCAGGUGGUCGAAUAAUAUCUCAUCUUACUACAUCUUAAUAUAUAUAGAAUGCAAACUGACUCUUUUGGUGUUAUGUCACUUUAAUUUAUAACUAAAAUAUCCACAGCAGAAUGUUAACUACAAAUUUGAUUCCUUCCCCACUAUUUCUGCUUUAUCUUUUGAUAAUUUGAAAAUUCAAAAAAUUGAAGGACAUAGUUUUUAUCCAUGAAUGAAUGCUUCGGAUUCGUGAUCUUUCAAGGAAAUUAGAAGUACAAUGACAUACUCAAUAGUCUUUUUCUUUAACCACAGACUUAGAGUGUCCCUGAUUCACUAAUUAACUGCAAUUCCAUGUAGUUUAUCCGUUGAAUUUUCUGACAAAUAGAACUUUGAACCUCUUCCACUAAAAAAUUGCAGGCUGUUGACGAUCGUACAAUUGGUCAUAACCCUGAGAGGUUAAGCUUAUUGAAAGGAGGCAUUGUCUACAGCAAUGCAGUUGUGUACGUUGGCUAGGUCUUUGAAUGGUUUCCAUCUUGUUAUUUAUACACUUGCUGUUUCCAGUUUAGCCAUGCAGGAGAACACAUCUAUAUACAAUUUUGUUAGCACAUCGGUGAUUAUUCAUUACUCUUUGUUGUAUAUGACAAAUCAGAGAUAUACCUAGUGGGAAGAAAUGGAGAGCACAGCUUGAAUGACUAGUUUAAAACAUAGUCUCCAGAAUAAAUUGUGCCUCGGAAAGGAGAACGUAAAAGAUAACAUAAUAGCAAGAAGUCAGUUGCUAUUGAUUUUUUUCUUAGUCCUUUUUCUUGGCAGGAGACACUUAAUGGAAAACGCUAUGAACUUGCUUAACAAGAAUAAAUCUUAAAUUGAUUGCUCCUUUAUCUGGGAUUUUUUUUCUAUUAUCUGGGAUAUUACAUGUUUGAUUGAAUUGUAACCAAUUGUACUUAAAUUGUGUCUAACACUUUGAAUAUUUCUUGAACAAGCACAGCAAAAUUUGAAAUACUGGGUAUAUACUGCAUAAAUAGGUUGCAAGUGUUGAAUUGUGUCCGUUGCAUAAGUUAGCUAUUCUUGUUCUUCAUACUAUAUGUUGGUUUUAAUUUGGGAAUAUUUCAGUCAUUUACAAAUCCUAAAUUUUAUUAAAUCUCAAUUGCAAGGAAGAAAACUUGAUGUCUUCUGUUUCUUCAAGGUAUUGCAUGAAUUAUCCACUAACAUAAAUUGGCCUGGGUUGAACGGCAUGCGCCACAGCAAGUUCUGACUCAGUUGGAUUUGACUGGGGUUAUACUGCAUUAGUAUAUUGCAAAGAUUGUGGCUAUGGUAGCUCAUUAUAUGCUAAGCUGGAUACGAAUAUUUUCCAAAUGGGCAAGGAGGGCAUACUUUAACAAGUUUCCUUUGGAUGUUAUGGAAACUAGAAUUACUUAUAGUCAUUUUCCAGGUACUUGUUUAAAUUAAUAAGAAGUAUAAUAGAAGGGAAGCUGGGCCUCAUUUCUGUACUCAGCAACUGGAAUAUGACUGUAAAUUUUCAGGUGUUAGCAUUAACUUUGACGAUUGCUUUGUUAGUUUUUCUGUUACUCAAUUGUGUAUUGACAGUCUUUCUUAAUGAUUAAACAACUUUUAAGAUGGAUUCAUCACAGAAUAUGUUACUAUUUUUUCUGUUCAAAAAACUUAUGGUUCUUUGGCUAGUAUGAAUUGAGUUUGCCAGAAUUUUGAAGGCUUAGCAUAUAGAUUAGCCUUAGUUACAAUCUCCAAAACUUAUAAGUAAUUCAAGGAGAUCAAAAUCCACUGCAAGCAAUAAAAAGAAAUAAAGGCAUUUUGAGGGAUAUUGUGAUCUUUACAUAUUGCAGGACUUGUAGCUUAAUAUGACGCAUUCAUCAUUAUCUAGAGUUUUUUUAUAAUGAUUAUUUAAAUUAAGGUGAAAAUUGGAUGAAAAUUUUCAGAUAAAUUUAGUCCUAUACUUUUGAAGAACUUUGAGCUAAAUUAUCUAUAUAUUGAAAGUUUUAUCUUUUGUACUAAAUUAAAAAAGGAAAAGGUUUAUCUGUGGAAUGCUGGAGUCAAAAUUGCAUUAGCUUAUGCACACACAGAGCAAAAAAUGAUUAAUUUGAUGAUUCUCAUUUUAAUUUUCAGCACAGUCUCCCCGACAUACUUAAAAGAAACACUGUGUUCUGGAUGGCUUGCUAGUACCUUGUUAAGGAACCGUGACAAGUAAGUUAUCUUCCUGCUAUGGCAUUUUCAGGGGUUAACACAGUUACAUGAUUAUUAAUUUAUUAACAAAAGAAAAAUAAUUUUAUUAGACAAAUAUGUGAUCUUUGGAACUAUAAGGGGAUGUUAUUUCUUGCUACAUUUACAAUUCAUUCCGUGAUGAUGAGAAAGUGUUUCUUGAGUGGACUUCCCUGUAUGAACCAAUGUUAAUAAUUCCAAUUCUGAAGAACUAAGAUAAAUUUGCAAAUGUGUAUUGGGCAAUCACUUUACACAAUUAGUGUUAAUAAGUUUAUGAAUAUACUUCUCUGAAGUCGACAAAGACUGAUGCCAUGCAACUUCAUGUUCCAUCUUCCAUGUUAGACAUUACUAAGUACAGAUCCUUAAAGAAAAUAAAAUAGUCAGUUGAAAUGACCAUAGGAGACUCUAAUGUCUUUGUUACUUGCUUAAGUACACUUUACAUCUCAGCAGUGUCAUUGUUAUAUUUUGCAUCAUGUCACAUGAUUUUUGGAUGAGUUCUCUUGAAUUCCCCAUUAAUUGUCGGACAAAUUCUGGUUGGUUGACUGUGACACUUGGACCUCAUGAGCAUUCAGAGAAUGUAGGAAAAUAAAAGUAAUGCUGCUGAUCAUUCAUUAUCCUUUAUAUCUGCGACUUUGUCUAGGUCCUCAAUUGUUUGGAAGAACUCUGUUGUGCUCCCAAUUUGUUUAGGCUAUCAUUGGUCGAUGAGCCAAGACAAUGGUCUUUCAUGAACCUUUGAUGUUUUUGAAGAAUUAUGCUGGUGGUUACCUGAUAACUCUUGUCUCUGACUUCCAACAGACAAAAUAGAAGGUGAUCCUUACCAUCCCUUGUGGGAGCUGACCAGAUCAAAAGUUGUCUUUUCAGAAAACAUGAAAACUAUCCAACAUAAAGCAAAGUGCUGAUUGGCCACCAUUUGUUAUGGUUAGCGUGCAUACAAGAAUAUAUGAACUUAUAUGAGCCAGUUGUCUAUGUUUUCCAUGUACUGUGUGCUGGCUCAAGUUUACUCAGACAGGUAGCAUUGUUGCUAUGCCAUUUUCCUGCAUACUUGAUUAUGGAUUUUAAUGAUGUUAAAGAAAAUUAACUAAUGUCACCUGGGGUAGAAGAUGGAACUUAUCUUUGUAGGAGUUCCAAUAUUUUGCGAAACUAUGAAUGUUUCGUGGGGUAAUAAUUAAUACACUAGAAUCGGACUGCAUUAGCUACUUAGUCCAAGUAGUCGAUCUCUAAUUUAGCUUGUCAUCUCUCUGUCACUGUGUAUUCGCAUAAAAGUUCUGUUUUCAUUUGACAAACCACCAUUUACAUGCUUUGUUCUCCUGUAGGUACUCUGGUAUUUUAAAUGGAAUAGACUCUGCAAUGUGGAACCCUGCCACUGAUGUUUUCUUGCCUGCUAAAUUUGAUGGUAAUGAUUUUGUGCCUAGGAAGUCCUAUAGUGUUUAUCAUUGUAAUUUCAUACAUGAGCUCAUUGUAGGCGACAGUAGCCAUCAGUUUGUAUUUUUUUUUAUUGGCCUAGUUGCAAGUAUAGCAAACGAUGAAAAAUGAAAAGCUCUUGGACUGCAGUGAGACCACCAGAAUUGCAUGUGCCCAAAAGAAAAUGUUUCCAGAUGAGUAGAAUUGUAUUUUCGAUUGGUAUUUCAGGGUUAGUUGGUUAUUUCUAUGCGUUUUAUUUGUCAAUUUGUGUUUACUAUUGAUAGAGUUGGUGUUAGGUUUGCUUUCACCAUUUUUUAACCUAAUCUGGGAACUUUAUCCUGAGCUUCUGUAGGGAUCUCAAUUUUUUAUUCAUUUUAUUUCUAGGAUUUUUAGACCUUUCCUAUUGUACUUUACUUAAAGAGUGUUACUUUACUUAAAGAGUGUUAUCUGGUGAUUCAAUCUCUUUGUGGCAUUAAGAAGUCGUUUCUGACGUUUGCUGCAUAUUUAACAUAUAUAAUAUAUGCACAAGAAGGCUGUGGUCAAUUGGGCAUCAACGAUGGCUCACCUCCAACUCAUAUCUCUUAACAUUUGAAAAUUGCAUGUUGCACAGCAUGAUGCCAUGAAGGAACUCUUCCGUUCUGUCCUUGCAUCUGCUGUCAAUUAUGUGCACUCUGAAUUUUCUGGGCUUUUCUGAUUUCUUUUGUUCAUCUUUGUGACUUUGUCUUUAGCUGAGAACUUUCAAGGGAAGAAUGUAUGUAAACACUUCGUUCAAAGGGGACUUGGUUUGGCUUUGGAAGGCACCAGCUCAGGUUCUGACCGGGUGCCUUUGGUUGUCUGUGUUACUCGAUUGGUUGCUCAAAAGGGUCUUCAUUUAAUUACCCAUGCCAUCCAUAGGGUUGAUGAACUUGUGAGCUCCCUCUCUCUCUCUCUCUCUCUGCAUGUUAGGUGGCUGGUGGUGAUGGGUGUACUGUUAACUAGAAAUCACAUGGCCCAUUGAACACAUCAUAUUCUAUUUCUAGUUUCUCAUCAUCUAAAUAAGCUGUAUCUGGAUGGUGCAUGCAAUCCUAUACGUGGAACAGAUGUAUUGAUUGAUGUAUCCAUCAUAAAUGCUGUUGCAUCACAAUCUGAUUCCUUGUCCAAUUAUUAAUAACUGCAAAACUUGCAUUUUUUCUAGUUGUACAUGAUUAGCUGUUUGCUGAAAGUGUUGGACCUCAAUGAAAGUUUCUAAAAAACCUUACAUCAGUGGCUUGUAUGAUGAAUCAGUAUGCACUAUAGCCAGCAGCUUGCAUGACAAAUCAUAUAUGCCUGUUAUCCUUUGUAAGUUUUCAAGGUUUAUCUAUAUCCACUCCAAUCAUUUUAAAUGACAGUACAAGCAUGCAUCCUUUCAUUUGAGUUCUUCUGGUAAACAUUUCUAAACUAUCUUGCAUAGGCUAGUUGGUGAAAAUAAGUCUACAGCUGGUAAUUCUAGUUUCCUCUGCUAGUUCUCUCUUACUUUUCUGUGUUCUAUUGAAAUAGUUGUUUGCGAACAAGUGUCAUGAAAACUGCUAUUUACUUUUGGUUACAAGCAGGAAGUGGUAAGUCUAUGGUUGCUAUUUAUCCUUUGUAAAUCUACAACGCUGUCCAAAGAUGUUGGUAAGAUAUUAACUAACAAUAUCAUUUUUGUUUCCAUCUUUUGUAGGGCGGACAGAUGGUAGUGCUUGGGAGAGCCCCAGAUGGUCGGGUACAGAGAGAAUUUGAAAAUCUUGCAAAUUUGGUAAGGGAUUUAGAGUAAUUUCCAGAUUAUCUUUUCACUUUUGGAAGAUUAGAAAUAAAGUCCCCUUCCCCCCCCCCCCCCCCCCCCCCUCCAACAAACCCAAAAAAACAAAAAAAAAAGCAGAAAUUGCUGAAAGUCAUGUAUCUUGUUCCUGUACGCUUGCCUUAAGUGUCUUUGUGUUUUUUGGGAACCUGUGCUUGAAAGUGCUAUUGUCUUUUCAAGAUUUUUUUGACAAUCUAGUAGAAAAUGAUUAUGAUAUGGUAGAAUGUUUGAACAAUUAUUUCUCUGUGUAUAGCUUUAUGCGAGUUUGCACAUUCUUGAGAUAUAGCUUUCCAAAGGCGCAAAGUGAUGUCAGCUAGAAUGCUACAAGAGUAGAUAGUGAGUUCUACAGAAAUUCUGAAAAUUUUCAAUAGUAUUUGUGACAUUUCGGCUGUAUAAUGCAGUAAAAUUGUAACCCAUACUCUGCUUAGCAGAUAGUGCAUUGAAAAGACGUCUUUGGAAAUUAUUCAUGGAUUCCAAUUUUUUAAUUAUGAUUUGCCUUUACAGUAUUAUUCUGGUGAGUUGACAAGAAAGAGUUUUCUUUCUUGCAGUACAACCAAGGCUCCGGCAUUAGGAUUCUUUUGAUGUACAGGUGACAGUUUUCAGGAUGAAGCUUCUUGCUUUACCCUUGUUUAAGAAGUUGUAAUAUGUUUUGCAUACUUGUUCCAUCUGGAUGCAUGUUGAAAUCUUUACAUGAUUAAACAUAGUAUUACUCUGGCCAAAGUAAUUUUCCACUAAUAGUGUUUAAAAAAACAUAAAAUGGCUAGAAUGCCUCUUAUAAUGAUAUUCCCCUUGUGGGGUCUGCAAUGUGCAGUGAGGAGCUAUCACACAUGCUUUAUGCAGCUGCAGACAUGGUGUUGGUCCCUUCGAUGUAUGAACCAUGUGGGCUGGCUCAGAUGAUUGGAAUGCGUUAUGGGGCGGUACAUACUUCCUUAUUAAUACAAAAUAGACAUGCUUUGAACCUUAUACUACUUAAGUUGUUGACAAGCAUUUAAUGGCAACUUGAAGGGCUGGAUGCACAUCAAUUUCUGAGUACUCCUUGAGAAUUUCUUUGAAUACUAACUAAAACUCGGUAAACACACUCUUAAUUGGAAAGCGGGUUAAGAGGAUUUUGUGGUUUUUUCAGAUCCCUGUAGUUAGGAAGACUGGUGGUCUUGCAGAUACAGUCUUUGACAUAGAUCAAGGAUCACAACCUGAGUUGGCUAAUGGGUAAGUUAUCAGCCGUGUUCUUCUUGUGUUUGAGUAAACAAAUUUGUCAUCGUUUGAACUAAGCUUUUUCUCUUCCACAAUGCUCGGUAAGUUUAAAUGCUACAGCUUUUGUUGUGGACCUGUUUGCUGUUGUCAAAUAUCUAAUUGAGCUGAAAUGUUUUCAGCUUCCAGUCCUCCCCUUCAUAAGAUAAGAAGUUUUAAUUACAACUUCCAGUAAAAGGAAAUUUGAUUUAAAUUAUGCUUGGCAAAACUGCUUUUAUAUUCAUGCAGACACACUUACAUGCUUUUUUUCCUCUCUAAAAAUGAUUUAUAUUUUGCUUCGAUACUGGUUUUCUGUGAAGAAUGAUGGUAAAUUGCCAAAUUAACAAGUACUACUAUUUCAUGUUCAUGAACAUAAGUAUUGUCUUCUAAAAUGAAGUCAACAAGGGGCUAUCUUGAACUUGCUGUAUUAGUAAAAUUUCCCUUAUACGUCUUUCCUUUGCAUUGUUCAUAUGAAACGAGAUCUGCUUUAUCUGCUCCAAAAAAUCAAAUUAAUGCCUAUCCAUUUUUUGAGCGUUUGAAUUGGAUAUCGCAUUUAGUUCAACGAGUCCAGUACUGUGUAGUUUUCUUUUAUUAGCUGUCUUUUCUUUCAUUUCUUAGAUUGUUGUUCCUCAUUUUUUGGUUGAAGUAUUUUUUUUCUUCUCAUUGUUGGCCUGAAUUUUUAAGGGUUUGAGGGCUGUCUUCUGGUCUGACAUAAUCUUUGCAGUUACCACUAAGAUUGAUGAAAAAUAUAAUGGUACUUGGUAAAUAGUAGAUCUUUUCUCCUUGUUUUCAGUCACCUACACUAUUCCCCUUGAAUUUAGGUCCCGAGUCAACUUUUGUCUUUCUUCUUUUGAUCUUGCUACUCUAGUCUGUUUAUGCUAGGAUACAUCUUCUGCUUCAACAAUCAUAUUAUAGAAUUGGCACGAUACAGUGACUCGGGUGUGAGCACUAACUCAAAACAACUUCUCGGAACAUGAACAGAAGGCCAUAAUGCUGAAAUUUCACACUCUAUAUAGACAUGAAUAGGCCCUGAAUUUUGACCAGAACUUUUAUACUCAGAUGUAUUUGUUGUGUAGGUUUGUCUUUGAAGGAAUUGAUCAAGGUUCCCUAAACUGGGCUCUGGAUCGUGCAUUUUCAUCCUACCGAGAAAGUGAGUGCAUUUAGUGGUGUUUAUAUGCAACCUGUAAUAUCUGCAGUUUAAGAUUUUAGACAACUGCUGCUUGGGAUGUAAUCUCACUCAGCUUUUUUAAUGCAGAACCAAAUGAAUGGGCUACGACUCUACAGAAAGUAAUGAAGGUAGAUAAUAGCUGGAACAAGACAGCAGGACAGUACAUUGAUCUGUACAACACAUUAAGAGUCAAGUGGUAAUUAUCCUUCCAAGUCUCUCUCGUGGUGUAAAGGAAGGAUCUCUAUUUGUGUCAUAUAGCCUCUCUCGUUGAAGCUCUUUUUGGCUUGUCCUUAUUGUUUCUAACUCUUAGACGAGGUUUUUUGCGCUGUUGUUAAUAGAACACCUAGCGCCAUACAAAAGUUUCAAUAAAACAGAUGAAUAAAGGACUUUUCUCUCACAUGAAACCACAAGCGAAAAUGAAUCUGACAUUUUCGAACCUCAUUUCCAUACAAUUACAUUGUUGGAGACUGCAUUUUGUCAGCUUUACAAAUUUCAAUUUACGUAGCCACUGAAUUUUGACCCUGGAGUUCCAGGAUGGCAAGCUUGUACGAUAAGGGGGCAACAAUCUAACUCUUUAAAAUGUAGGCAAACACAUGAGAAGUGGAAAUUGCCUCUUUAAGGGGGCAGGGAGGGGGAAAUGAAUGUCUUUCAAACUUCUAUAUCCUUGCCUUGUGCUUAAUUCACUCAACAGGAAAAUCUCCUCCCUCACUUGUACCCUCAAAGAUGAACAAUUGACAAACAAUAAAAUCAGGUUGCAAACGUACAUGUAGAACAAAAACUUAGUUUAGCCAUCCUUCAAACAUCAAAAUAAGAUGCCAGUCCUUGUUGCACAAUGACAAACUUCCUGAAGUUAGUUUAUGGUAUUCCAAAGCAAUACAGUCCUUGUCGGACUCUAGAGCACAGAAAAAGAUAAACCUAGAUUGGAAAAAAGAGAUCUGGACCAUCUGGUUAUUUUACAAGAUCAGCUGUCAAAAAGAGGGUACUCAUUAGGCUCCUGUAACAUAAUGCUGUAUUUCUUCAUUCAACUGUCACCAAUUUGGGGAUUUUACAGACUUUACUGCGCAGCAGGUCAAAAUAAUUGCUUUUCAGAGAAAGAGAAGACUAGACGUACAAACAGUAAGCAUCAGUGUGUGAACUAAACACACUUCCAAAGAAACAUCAGAUUUAACCACCUUCAUAUGCCUGAUGCCACCUACAUCAUAAGAGACCUGCCAAAGUAAUAAACGGAAAAAAAAAAAAGAAAAAAGGAGAGAGAGAGAGAGAGAGAGAGAGAGAGAGAGAGAGAGAGAGACGGAAUCAGGAUUUGAAAUUUUCUCCCUGCUCCUCCUCACCCCCAACAACUUCAUUGUACAACCAACUACUUCAAACAAUCAACAAAUAUGUGAGCGAGAGAGAAAGGAGAGAAGAUGAGAGAUGGUCUGUCUGAGGUAAACGAAAUACCACCUUAAACGAUCACAGUCAGUGACGUCCAGUCAUAUGACCAUUGCAGCAGCCAAAAUAACUACACCUAAUUCCAUCCGGUUUAUAACAUCAUUCUUCCUGCUAUCCAUCUCGGACCAAUAUGAACUACUCCAACUCUGUUUUUGGUAGCUUCUUACUACCGUCCAAGUUCAGAGUAUCAGCCAGGUUGUCUGACAGUUGAUUAAUUGGAUCAGCAAGAGCAAUAGUAGAGUUUCCUGUCACACUAGCUCGUUGCUUUGCCUUCUUUUCCAACAAGGCUUUCUCCCGCUCAUCAUAGAAUGUAAAAUCAUCUAAAAGGGAUGUAUCAGCUUCAUAGUCCUUGAAAAUCUUAAGCAUUUCAAUUCCAUGCUCAAGUUUCACCUGGAUAGAAAUCAGUGGUUAGUCAUAAUGGGAAAAUAGCAAAUUCAACAAAAUAAUUUAAAGCAGUUACUAGGAAGGAUCAAAACUUUGAAAAACUUGCUAGAACUCUCAAAAGUAUCAAGCUUUGUCUGUAACCUCUAGAAAGAUGGAUGACAUUUAUCUCAACAUCCCAAAGGGCCUAUACAAGACCCACAUGUCAAUGGUGACACAAAAACCAAAGACAAGUAGAUCAAUUAGUGUUUUCCACCCAUGCUCGGAAUUUUCUUGAGCAAAAAAGAUGCUGUUUCAAAACCAUGUCUAAUUCUUUGUGCUCAUUACAAAUUUUGGGACGGUAGAGGUGGGGGAAGAGGAGAUAAAUAAGAUGUAACUCUAAUUUAAGGGGAUAAUUCAAAGCUCAACAGCUUCAUACUCAGAAACACAAUUUCAGGACACAAGUAAAACAAAUACAGAACCCCUCACCUCUUGAGAGUCUCGACUGUGAGUAACAGGCUUGUUGUCAUUAUUUUCAAGAAGUAUGUGGCGGAACCGACUAUUGGGCACAUCUUUGACAACAUGCCAUUUCACAGGGAACUGCCCGCUCCACCUAUCCUGCUGCCAGUACUCCGCAUCAUUUUCAAAAUCAACAGGUCCAACCAUCUCAGCUAUCCCACAAAACUGUCCACUAGCAUUUACCUGAAGGAUACAAAUAGUACAUCGGCAAAAGGUCUUUAAACUAUCAAAUUAAUGCCCAGGGUAAGGUUGAGGCAAUGAAAAAGCUAUGUAUCUAGUAUAAUUAUAAAAAAAAUAAAUAAAUACUGUUUACAUUCAAUAAGGUCACUUUUGGUUACACGUAGUGAGUUCAUUCUUCCAUUAGCCGAUUCACAAUGGAUCUUGGUCAUUGAUGUGUAAGUUACACGACCUCACAAGUCCCCAGACCAUCUAUACAAAUAUUUACAGGUGUUUUCCCUAUCAGCAGGUUAAAGGCAAAAUUGCCACCACUCACCAGAAUGUUGGUUUAAAACAGCCCCUGUACCUAUUAACAAUGACCCAGCUUCCACCAGCAACUUAUUCUGAACUCUCUAACUAAAUGCUCCUUGUUCAUAUUCCUCAAAGUUGCUUUUCACUGCUUCUCAUGAACUUAUGUAUCACAUUACCUAACUUACAGUUAUAUGAAGAGAGGGACGCGGCAGAGGGGGGGGGGGGGAAGGGGGCGGAGAGAGCAUGAUCACAGAAUAUGAUUAUGAAGUGUCAGCAAAAAGGUACGAAUGUUGCUUCUAAAUGGAGACAGUAUGCAACCAUAUCCCUAUCAUCAUUCUGUUUCGUUGGCAUGAUGAACGCAACCUCAAGGCAGAAAAGAUCAAAUGGCGGAAACCAAACCAGCGCUUCACAUAAAUCUGAUCCAGAUGCUCAAAAACAUAGCCGAGAAAAAAAGGAAGACCGGGAGUUGCCUGUCAUGUCCUUAUGCUUCAUGAUAAGCAGUCUCAAGCUUUCGGUUCCAAGUGGUGUGGCUAGGCCAAAUGCCAUAACUUAAUUGCUCUUAGUGAACAUUAUCUUCACACUGAAAACUUGAUCACACAAAACUUGGCAUAUCUGGCAAUGAUCAGUACCAGGAGAACUCUGGCUUUGUACAUUGGUCAAGUCUGAAGCCAGAAGUAGCAGUCGAACAUCUUUACGUAUCCAGAUAAAGCAUUCUCUCAGCAGAAGUUUUUGCUCUUGUUGGGCUUUGAGGAGCCGCUAGUCCCUACUUUCUUAUACUAUGAAAUUCCUAAAGAAUCAUUAGAGUAGUUCAGAGCGUCCUAUUUCUCUAUCACGUUCCUCCUUACUACGACCGCCGUCUGCCGCUGGUUAUCCAGCUGAGAACUGGGGAACCGUGUAGGCAUAAUUGUCAUGCCCUGGGUAAGAGCCAGUGAUGUGGUAGAUGGUUGGCAGAGUGCAGGCUUGACGCUAGGCCCCCAGUCAACUUGAUUGUGCCUGCAAUCCAAACAAUUAAUUAACUAGAAUCAAGUGGUUCAGAAGCGAAAUCGCGAGGCCAAGUAGUUAAGCAAUUCAACAGAAAAGAAAAAAUACAAAGAGAAAGAAACAAAUUGAAAGUUGAUCUAGUUGCAGCUUUGAACAAAAAGUGCAGGAUGGCAUUAUAAAGAUGACAAAUAUUUCAACCUUCCAAAUAAAAAAAAAAGAUAGGCAAAAUUAAUAAACUAAAUUAGCAUAGACCUUCAAAAGGAAAGUAAGACAAAAUUAACAAACUAAAUUAGCAUAUCUCAUGUCAUUCGUUUGUCAGAUAGACAUUUUACAUACUAAUAAACAUGUAGCCAACAAUUACAUUUUACAUAUUAAUAAACAUGUAGCCAACAAUGUGUAAGGAAUAAAAUCUUUAAGCAACUAUGAAGAUGCAUUCUAGGAGUGCAGAAUGCUCAAUAUUUCAGGAAAAGAAAAGAAUUUGAAUGACGUUACUGAUGCAAUUGCCUGCCGCUAGUUUAACCACAAAAUGUAGAUGGCAUAGUCAUUUGGACAUGUGAUUUAAUUUUUUUUUAAAAAAAGAAGAGCAUGGGGCUAGACGCAGACCACCCUUUCAGACAUAGAGCAAUAGUGCAUUCUGCUUUUAAAUAAAUCCAGCAAUGACUGUCAAAAGAUUAUUACUCAACUACUAAAAUUUGUAAACUUCCAAACUUAUUCUGUUGGCAACAAACUCAAGAAAUAAGAAUAGAAAAAAUUCCGGCAAUGGUGGAGCACAAAGUAUCAAAAAUAUCAAGUACAAACAAGCAUCCUGGAUGCUACUUUUUCUUAGAUAUUCUUGUCACUUAAACAAAUACAUUUGAGUAACCAAUAAAAAUAGGCUGAUUAAGAUUAAGUCAAGUCAAGAAAUGAAGAAAAGAAUACAUGAAACAUGAAUAAUGCCCAAUUGCAAUGAAUUAUUUCAUGAACAAGAAGAGUUAUUCAGCUUCACGUCAUGUAAAGUUUACAAGAGGACAAGAAAUAUAUUUAAAAAACAAUAAUUGAUAUCAGAAAAAUAGUUCCAAUUAUUCUUCUCGCAGAUAUCACUACAUAGAAUCAAGGAGAUCAUGAGACAACUAACCUGAGCAAGAUUUUGCUCAUAUGGCCCAAGAAUGCCAAUUGGCUGUGGAUAUACCGCUCCUGAUGUUAACUGAGACAUGUACCUGCUUGAUUCCAGGGAACUUGAUUGAUUUGAUAAUCCUUCAGCAGACCCAAAAUCGCCUGGGAACUUAUAGAAACCAAGGCUACUAUUUCCAGAAAGGUCCCCUCCCCCAAAAGAUCCAAAAGGUACAUAGAAGCCUGAACUUGGCCCAAAAAGUGCAUUAUCAACUAAGCUUUCUUGUCCACUAGUUGCUGGUGCCAUUAGAUCAGUCUGUGAGACUGUAAGAGCUGAACUAACAUGUGGUAGUCCAGGUGAAACUGCUGGAAAAUAAGGUGGUGUCACUGGGAUCUGGUGCGGAGAGUAAAACUGGCCAUCAAUCAUUAUUGUGGAGAUUGGACUCGGAAUGGGAGAGAACUGUCCAUAUGCCAUCUGGGUGUCAUAGCCAUAACCAGGAGGGAAAAAUAGUGAUGGAUUUUCAUUAUACAUUCCCUACAUGUAGCAAAAUACCCAAUUUCAUAAACAGAAUAAAAAAGUCUGUCUCAUGCCUCUGUGCAUAAUUAGUCAAGGCAACAAUAUCAAAUUGAUGAAACUCACUGGAGGUACAACAUGUAAGCUGUUAGGAUUAACAUAGUUAGAAUGCUCAUCCCAGUUCCCAGUGCCAUUGUCAAGACCUGAACCAAGGAAAGAUGAAUAAUGAGUUUUAAGUACAACAAAAAAAAUGAUGAACAAUGAAAACUUUAUGUACAUUGGAGAAAAGUACAAGGAACCAAAAAAGCAAAACACAUGCCAAACUAACAAACAGUGAUUCAAAGAUGUGGAAGUUGAGAAAAAUUGGUACACUACAUAUCAGUACUAAAGUAAUUAAGCCCAAUAUUCACCUCAGUAUUACAGUUUCAAACUCGUGACAUGUUGACCAGAACCUUCACAAAGAGCAUAAGAUUCACAAAUUUUAUGCUGCUGAAACCCCAUGAAAAUAUUAAGCAAGAGGGAACAACACCCCUCUCUUGCAGCCAUAAAAAGGAGCAAAAAUAAUUGUAACACCCACAAAGCAAUACAACGCCCCAUGAAAGAAUGGCAGAUACACACAGUUCAACACAGUCGAAAGCUCUGUCAUGAGAACAGAACCAACAAAGAUAUCAUGUAGCCCACAUGUAUGGUCAGAGAAACGUUGAGAAGAAGACUAUAGCUGCUAAAUCAGCAAGAACAGCACUAUAAAAGGACCUAACCUCCAAAGUAAAAACUUUGUUCAUGCGGCACAUCAAGUGGAUGCACAGUGGUAAGAGCUCCACUCUUAUCCAAGGGAACAGGCUGAUCUUUGGCAUUUCUUGGAGCCCCUGAGAUGGCUGCAUCCGGAGAAGGAUUUGCAGAAAUAAUCCUUUCAUCUUUGGGCGAAAGUGGCUGAUAAUAGAUUGAAAAGGAAGUACUAAUAGACCUAAGCUAAUGGAGAAUUAGAGAAACAAAAGAAACACAGUACAAUCAUGAGUUAUAUGGAUUUACCUGUUCUGUCACAUUAUGCAAUUCAAUAGCUCGCUCCCCUGCAUUGAAACCAAAAAAUUCAUAAAGCAACCACACACUUAAUUGGUCAAGUAAGAAAGCAUGAUACCAUUCUUAUUUUCCUCUUUCUUAUCUAUUGCAGUGUGGGAAAGAAUAUUGACCUCAUUCCCACUUUAAAAUCAUCAAGAAUAUAAGUAAUACACCAAUUAUUUACCAGUAAUACAACAGACUAAGCAACCAUUAAGAAACAUUUAGUCUCAAAACGAACAUGUCAUCCCCAGAAGCAUUAGGUACAGGACAUAUAACAAUUGCAAAGUUUUCAACUGUUGAACAAAAUCACCAUGUCAUUAAUAGAUUCCCAACAUCCGCUUAUACAUAAAAGGGCCAUCUGCACAAACUCCACGUUGGAAACAUCCCCCCCCCCAAAACACAAUUCCCAUUACCAAAUAAUAGGGAGGUGGGAUUUAGUAAUUCUAUUAUGCCUGACUGUAAGAGAUUCCAAGAUUAGGCUAAGCUUUCAUCAGAAUGGGGACAAACAUGUGAUAAUACAAGUUCGACGAGAAAAAGCACCGUUUACUUUUUCGGCACACAAAAACAUCUUUCUGAUAAGGGCACAUCAAUCAAGAAAUUUUCUGCUGAGACCUUUCUGAGUAAACUUAACAUACAUGCCACCUUUCCACAUUUACGAAUACUACUGUUAUCACCUUUCCAGGAAAAGAAGCAUGCCAGCGAUAUUAAAACACCAUAAAUGAUCCUCAUUCUAUCUUGAACCCUAAUCAGCAUGCCAACGAUAAGCUUUUUUAAUGCAGAACCAAAUGAAUGGGCUACGACUCUACAGAAAGUCAUGAAGGUAGAUAAUAGCUGGAACAAGACAGCAGGACAGUACAUUGAUCUGUACAACACAUUGAGAGUCAAGUGGUAAUCAUCCUUCCAAGUCUCGUGGUGUAAAGGAAGGAUCUCUGUUUGUGUCAUAUAGCCUCUCUCGUUGAAGCUCCAACCGUGCUCUUUUUGGCUUGUCCUUAUUGUUUCUAACUCUUAGACGAGGUUUUUUGCGCUGUUGUUAAUAGAACACCUAGCGCCAUACAAAAGUUUCAAUAAAACAGAUGAAUAAAGGACUUUUCUCUCACUUGAAACCACAAGCGAAAAUGAAUCUGACAUUUUUUAACCUUAUUUCCAUACAAUUACAUUGUUGGAGACUGCAUUUUGUCAGCUUUACAAAUUUCAAUUUACGUCGCCACUAAAUUUUGACCCUGGAGUUCCAGGAUGGCAAGCUUAUACGAUAAGGGGGCAACAAUCUAACUUGAUUCGUUGCCUAACCAACCACUAGCUGCAAAAAUGAAAAAUGUAGGCAAACACAUGAGAAGUGGAAAUUGCCUCUUUAAGGGGGCAGGGAGGGGGAAAUGAAUGUCUUUCAUACUUCCAUAUCCUUGCCUUGUGCUUAAUUCACUCAUAAGGAAAAUCUCCUCCCUCACUUAUACCCUCCAAGAUGAACAACUGACAACAAUAAAAUCAGGUUGCAAACGUACAUGUAGAACAAAAACUUAGUUUAGCCAUCCUUCAAACAUCAAAAUAAGAUGCCAGUCCUUGUUGCACAAUGACAGACUUCCUGAAGUUAGUUUAUGGUAUUCCAAAGCAAUACAGUACUUGUCGGACUCUAGUGCACAGAAAAAGAUAAACCUAGAUUGGAAAAAAGAGAUCUGGACCAUCUGGUUAUUUUACAAGAUCAGCUGUCAAAAAGAGGGUACUCAUUAGGCUCCUGUAACAUAAUGCUGUAUUUCUUCAUUCAACUGUCACCAAUUUGGGGAUUUUACAGACUUUACUGCGCAGCAGGUCAAAAUAAUUGCUUUUCAGAGAAAGAGAAGACUAGACGUACAAACAGUAAGCAUCAGUGUGUGAACUAAACACACUUCCAAAGAAACAUCAGAUUUAACCACCUUCAUAUGCCUGAUGCCACCUACAUCAUAAGAGAACUGCCAAAGUAAUAAACGGAAAAAAAAAAAAAAAAAGGAGAGAGAGAGAGACGGAAUCAGGAUUUGAAAUUUUCUCCCUGCUCCUCCUCAUCCCCAACAACUUCAUUGUACAACCAACUACUUCAAACAAUCAACAAAUAUGUGAGCGAGAGAGAAAGGAGAGGAUGAGAGAUGGUCUGUCUGAGGUAAACGAAAUACCACCUUAAAAGAUCACAGUCAGUGACGUCCAGUCAUAUGACCAUUGCAGCAGCCAAAAUAACUACACCUAAUUCCAUCCGGUUUAUAACAUCGUUCUUCCUGCUAUCCAU
RNAcentral lists this long non-coding RNA (81683 nucleotides) under Coffea arabica (coffee). RNAcentral describes it as "long non-coding RNA (CARA_LNC004340)". Lineage: Eukaryota; Viridiplantae; Streptophyta; Magnoliopsida; Gentianales; Rubiaceae. The record is from RNAcentral.